RNAcentral lists this long non-coding RNA (45350 nucleotides) under Brassica napus (rape). RNAcentral describes it as "long non-coding RNA (BNAP_LNC002545)". Lineage: Eukaryota; Viridiplantae; Streptophyta; Magnoliopsida; Brassicales; Brassicaceae. The record is from RNAcentral.
GUGAUUUGCGGAAGCUACAGCUCAGGUUCUGAUGAACCUGGCUCUGAUACCAUGUGAGAUUUAUAGAGUUCUCUUCUCUGGUUGUGUUUGUGUGUGUAUAAACUCCAAUGGAGAAAGAUUAGAGCUUGCUCUAGGUGAUUUAGAAAGAGAUUGAUAAGAGUGUUUAUGAGAGAAUAAGAGACUUAGAACCAGAGAUUAAGAGACUGAGAGAUUAAGAGAAUAAGUGUUUAGAGAUUACAGUUUCAGAUUCAAGAACAAGUUUUCAUUUCCAUGAAGUGGAGAGGGGAAAUCCCCCUUACUCCCUUAAGGCUCCAAAUCGCCAUUACAUGCUUAUUUAUAAGCUCCAUAGGUUUACACAAUCUGAAACCUAAAUCUAAUGGAUAAUAUUAACUUGAGAGAAUGGAUGGUGUAGAUGAGAUGGUCUUCUUGUAAUAUCUGAAGAGUUGUGAGGAUAAGGUUGGCUGUUCACUUUAAUUCAAACCAAGGCAAGCUGGCUCCUUGCUUGUGAUUGGCUCUCCUUAGGCUCCUCCUAAUCUUCCCAUGCAUCUGUCCAGGUUCAUGGUCGUGGCUCCCUUCUCUUUACAGCAAGAGACAGCCUGUCCAAGACCAGAACUAGCCAAUCACACACAAGGAAGCUCCCAUUGGUUGUUUGCCUCCACAAAGCAUCUUCUUGAUGCCUUCUUGAUUCCAAACGACCAGGGCCUUCUCCCAACACCCUAAGAUUGCACAAAGCCUCCUUGACAUGUUCUGAUCACGCCCUAAGCUUGCACUUCUUGUCCCGGACUUUGCACAAUCUCAAAACAUCUCAAAUGGGCGAGUUGUGAUCUCUCGGGUCGUACCGGUCCGUACAGAUCCGUACAUGGCCGUACAGCCUCGCCCUAUCUUUGCACACUCUCCCAUUUGCUCCUCAACACUCUUCUAAGUCUCUCCUAGACUUUGACCUUGCUUAGAACAUCCAUCAGAUCACUUCUGGACACCUUUAGACUCCUCAUCACUCUUGAUAGGCAAUCUCUAAAGCUCUUGCCCUAUCUUUGUACAAGAUCCUUCUCAACUCAACACCUCUAGCUCCUCCAUUCCUUUCUUCAAGUUAACAACGCUUGGCCUUUACAGCCUGUCCACGGCCUGGAUGGAUAAGGCUCGUCCCACCCUUAUCUCUAAACGUUCUGAUCAGUCUUGAGACCUUCUAUGUACUCUAGAGGCUUUACUCAUCCAUCUCCUCCUUCCUUCAUGUUUCCUCAGAUGUACGGCCAAGCCCCUGUCCGUACAUAGGCCGUCCUGUCCGUACUCUUUCCAUCACUUGCUUAGCUCUUCCUCUCCUUCUCAUAAUGACUUCCUCAUCUCAACACACAGGUUCCUUGGUUGUAAGCUAAACCUCCUUCCCUUGUUUAAAGCUUGUGUCUUUAUGUUAUGGUUGUGUUGUGUGGUGUGGUUAAGUCCUGCGGAUUCUGUUUUGCAUCAUCUUGUUGUGAUUGCCAUAACUAAAGUGUCAUUAAUGAGUGUAGCAUCUAGUAGAAUGUCUAAGCUACUUGCAUAAUGGUACUGAAGUUGUUUUGCUGUUGCAUUGGUUAGUAUGCAGUGAGUAGUAUUUUAAAUCCCAGGAUCUCAUGUCUUGUUCAUUGCAUUGUCUUGUGUAGUGCCAUAGCUUGAAUCAUCAUGAAUGUGUUGUAGAAAUGAGUAGAAUGUCUCUGCUGCUUGCAUCAUGGUUGUAGAGCUGUUUUGCAUACAUAAGCAUGUCUCAUUGUCUCCUGGUUCAAUCCGAGUGUGUACUGGUGCUGUUGCCUGUGUUUAAUCCAUCAUUGACUGUCUUGCAUCAAUUAGAAGUUGUCUAAGUUGCUUGCCUCAUUGGUUUUGAUUAGAACUGUUGUGCAUAGCUUUAAAGUGUUCUCGGAUUGAUCAUGCAUUCAUAUAGCUAAUGCUUUACGAUUGUGCAUUCAUGUAUUGAUGCAUUUAAAACUGAGCCUAAAUUGCAAAUGUACUGAUGUUAGCUUGCAUUGCAUUUAGAGAACUUAAAAAAAAUAAAAAUUAUAUGCUUGAUUGUGCCUUGAUUGUUUGGCUGUUUCAAGUUUUAUAUAUUGUUGUGGCAUUGGUGAUCAAACAGGAUGGAUGAUCUUGGUUUGGUCCCAAUGGGAUGAUCUGAUCUUGCAUUGAGUUGUGGUGAUGUUAGGUACACAAAGAAGUGAUACAGUGACAAGCCAAACCAAAGUGUGAAGACAAAAGGUCUAGUUCCAUUGCAAAUCAUCACUGGAUGUGUUAAAUCCAUAAUCUACAGGAAGUGUAGUGUGAUUGAUUAUGCAAUGAGAGGAUGCCAUUGUAUAAUACCAUAGGACAUGUUCAGUCCACAGUCUACAGGAAGUGUAGCAUGGGUUAUUAUACAAUGAGAGCUUGUCUUGUGAGGACUCUCUAUGGUGAUUCAAACACCCUAGUUCCUGGUAUAAGGAAGAGAGCAGCUCACAAGACCAAGGCCAUCACAAAAGUCUAUGAAGACCGGUGGUCCAAAGGCCAUGAAAUUGCUUACACCUUACACAAGCUUAGCUCCUCACCUAUUCUCGGAGUUAAGCUUGAGGGGGAGUGUUAAUGAGCAAGUUUCAUGGUCCAUUAUCAAGUCUUUGCAAGGACUUCAUCAAAGGAUCAUCAACCGGGUCUAGGCAGUGGCGUGUCUAGGCAAGAGACUGUUCAGAGCAGUCUUGGCUGAGUGAGGAAGAAGGCUCUCUCUCAAUGCGGCUUCAAUGUGAGGUGGUUGAGGAGAAGCUGAUGAACCAACUCAGUCAUCCAACAAGUUGGUGUUGCCAUGAAGAGGUUGCAAUGGCCAAGAGAGAAGGGCUGCAAGGACUACAUUCAAGAGACAUCAACCGGAGUUAUUCUAGGCUGGGUGUGUAUGAAGGCUAAUAUUCAAGCUGAAGGAUCCAUACAGUCUUCCAACAAGUUGAUGUGCCCGUAGAGGUUGCAAGCCUAUGCGUAGUGUGAGGGAUUCAAGUGACAAUCCAAUCCAGCCACUCCUCACCAAAACAAAAAGGGAAGUGUCCCUUAAACUUAGUUCAAUUCAAUUCACUCAUCAUUUCAUUGUUUAAGCUUGAUAUGAUACUCAAAGUGUUUUGAUUGAAAUGUGAUGCAUUGAUGUGAUGCAAUCUUGGUUUCUUGAUAAGUACUGAUGCACCUUUGGGAUAAUGUAUCAGGUACCAUUGCUUGAGCCUCACUAAAGAUGUUCCUGGUCAUUUCCUAGCUUCUCUAAGGUGGCUGUGAAGUCUGUUGAGAGGGGGAGAUCCAAACCAGUUCUAUGAAGAGGGCAAGCAUAUUUUGAAGUCUUGCUCAGCCUCACUGAUGUUUAAAGAUGAUCCGGUCGCAUCCUUGCCUUUCUAAGAAGGCUAUGAAGCUUGUUGAGAGGGGGAGCCCCAAACCGGUUCCAUGAAGAGGUGAAGCUGAGGUGUGAAGUGUGCGCAAAGCUGUGAACUGUUGCUGCACCUAUUAGGCCGUGAUCCAGAGCUUCUUGUGUCCAACCACACUGGUUCUAAGGCACAAGAGCUCACUGGCCAAUCCCUAGGCUUUGGAGAGCUCUACUCUUUUUCCCUUGCAAGGUUUUGUCCCAAUGGGUUUUCCUUGUAAGGUUUUUAAUGAGGGAGACUCUUCAGAGUUCCAAGCUUGGCUUAGGAUCUCCUAAAGUCAAGCUUGAGGGGGAGUGUUGAACUGAAGAGAAGAUAGAGCUUGUACAAUAAUAGGGCAAGCUCUAGAAGAUGUCCAGAAGAGUUCAAUCAAGCUUCAGAGGUGUUCUGAAGUAGUUAUCUUGUGAAGUUAAGUCUAGGAAAGACUUAGACUGAUCUUAAGAAGGCUUUGGAGGAGUUUGGGAGAAGAUGGUCGAAGGUGCAAAGAUAGGGCGUCGGUACGAACCAGUACGGACAGUACGGCCUUGUACGGCCAUGGGCGAACCAAGAAGAGGAAUGGAUCGACUUAGGAAGAAGAAUGGGUGAUGUGCAUACUUAGGGCGAGUGUACGGACCGGUCAGGCCGUACAUCGACCGCACAACACCCGGGACUCGUCCAUUCAUCCGGUUCAGCCAAGUUUAAAGAUGUGCAAGGAUAGGGCGCGGCUUAUCUGAUCUUUUAUGACCGUUGGAGACCUAAGGAGAGAAAGGGAUAUUCCUCAUGAGCUGUGUGGUCCAAAGAGACAGGCUGGAAAGUAAAAAUGGCUUUACCUUUACAGCCUUAUUUCCACACUGUCUCAUCUUGGCCAUUGAUUCAAAAUGAGCCAAUCUCUCCCCUCCAUUCAAAUCAGGCGUGCCUCCCUUGCCAGCUUGCACCAGAACAUCCAAGACCAGCCUUCUCUCAUCCUAGCCAUUCAUUCUAUCUUUUAAUUACAGCCUUAGGAUAUAGGUUUAUGAUCUGAGUCAUGUAAAGGCAUAUAUAAGCCAUUUGUAUGCAUUUUGUAAACUCUAAGAGAGAGAGGGGGAUUUCCCCUCCUCCUUCAUAAUCUUAUGAUACUUUGUCUCUCUAAACUCUCUAGUCUUUGAUUCUGGUUACUUCAAUCUCGUUCUCAAUCUCUAUUCUCUCAAUCUCUCACUUAAUCUCUCAUACACACUCACCAUUCUCUUAUACUUCCAUUAAUCUCUUAUUCUCUUUCAUUGUUGAACAAGAAUCAGUCCCAACCUGUUGAGGUUGAUCCAUCACGCCCACACACAGCCUGUGCUCUGAAAAACUCACAUGGUAUCAGAGCCAGGUUCAUCAGAACUUGGUUCCAGCUUCCGCUCAAGCACAAGCUCACUCCCAUGCCAUUUCAAGCCAAGAAGAAGCUUCAUGGUCCAGCCGGCUGUUCAACCUCUUCAAGAAGAAGAUGUGCUCAUCCAUGGUGUCCAGGAGCUGUCCUUGGUCGUUCUACACUCUCUCAUGUCCGUCCUGAAGAAAGAAAGCCAUUGGAAGCAUGUCCAAGCCUUUCCUAUUCUCUGUCCAAGGANNNNNNNNNNNNNNNNNNNNNNNNNNNNNNNNNNNNNNNNNNNNNNNNNNNNNNNNNNNNNNNNNNNNNNNNNNNNNNNNNNNNNNNNNNNNNNNNNNNNNNNNNNNNNNNNNNNNNNNNNNNNNNNNNNNNNNNNNNNNNNNNNNNNNNNNNNNNNNNNNNNNNNNNNNNNNNNNNNNNNNNNNNNNNNNNNNNNNNNNNNNNNNNNNNNNNNNNNNNNNNNNNNNNNNNNNNNNNNNNNNNNNNNNNNNNNNNNNNNNNNNNNNNNNNNNNNNNNNNNNNNNNNNNNNNNNNNNNNNNNNNNNNNNNNNNNNNNNNNNNNNNNNNNNNNNNNNNNNNNNNNNNNNNNNNNNNNNNNNNNNNNNNNNNNNNNNNNNNNNNNNNNNNNNNNNNNNNNNNNNNNNNNNNNNNNNNNNNNNNNNNNNNNNNNNNNNNNNNNNNNNNNNNNNNNNNNNNNNNNNNNNNNNNNNNNNNNNNNNNNNNNNNNNNNNNNNNNNNNNNNNNNNNNNNNNNNNNNNNNNNNNNNNNNNNNNNNNNNNNNNNNNNNNNNNNNNNNNNNNNNNNNNNNNNNNNNNNNNNNNNNNNNNNNNNNNNNNNNNNNNNNNNNNNNNNNNNNNNNNNNNNNNNNNNNNNNNNNNNNNNNNNNNNNNNNNNNNNNNNNNNNNNNNNNNNNNNNNNNNNNNNNNNNNNNNNNNNNNNNNNNNNNNNNNNNNNNNNNNNNNNNNNNNNNNNNNNNNNNNNNNNNNNNNNNNNNNNNNNNNNNNNNNNNNNNNNNNNNNNNNNNNNNNNNNNNNNNNNNNNNNNNNNNNNNNNNNNNNNNNNNNNNNNNNNNNNNNNNNNNNNNNNNNNNNNNNNNNNNNNNNNNNUGGUGAUUCUCCACUACUCUAUGUAUCUAAAUCAAGCUUUGUACAUCGCGAUUCAUCCUGGUUUGAUUAGAAUGUCGAAGAAGUUGUCAUAUUCCCAAACAGGGAAACUGGGAUCACCUUAUUUGAAAGUUGGAUAACUUCUUCAUCCUAACUCCUAUGAGAUUUAUUCAACUUCCUGGGGAUUCUCUAAACACUUUUGUGUUUAGAGAAUGAUUCAAACAACCAUAGAUACUUAGAUUCAAAGAUUAAAGAGAUUAAGAGAUUUUAGUGAGAGAAUCAAGAGAGAGAGACUCAAAACUCCAUUAAUUGAUUUAAUGUCUCAGAUACAAGAUAUAUAUGAAGAGAUAAUAAGGCUAAUACAAAAGGGAUUUCGAAAUCCAUAAGCAUGUGAGGUCAAUGGACAGGCUGGAGCUCCUUUUGCUUCACAUGCUUGGACAGGCUGUAAAAGUGCUUUACUUUUCCAGCUAUGACCAGACCUUAUCCAAACACCUCCUCCCUUAUCCAGACUCAUCUUGGGCGUGAUCCCCUUUACCAUAAGGGUCCAAUGUAACUUCCCAAGCCUUUACCUUAGUUACCACAGUAAAACUAAAGUUACUGUGGUAAAUUGCCAAAGUUACUCUCUGCCCCAAUACUCUUCCUCUAUCAAUGUAUCUUCUCUCCAUCCUCUUAUCUCAACACUCCCCCUCAAGCUUGACCAUGUAGAACAAGUCAAGCUUGGAAACCAUGAAGAUCUCCCUCAUUAAAAAUCUCACCAAGGAAAACCCAUUGGGAUAAAACCUUGAUGAGGGAAAAAGAGUGGAGACUCCAUGGUUAAGGGGAUCAGCUCCUGGGAGUAAGAUCAAUGAGCCCAAGCCUAGAAAGUAUGGACUCCAUUGUCUUUAAUCUCGCUGCCUUAGUAAACACAUCAGCCAGUUGAUCCUCACUCCUUGUAUAACAUGGCAGAAUCACUCCUAAGAUAAUCAUCUGCCUCACCUUGUGACAAUCCACUUCUAUGUGCUUCGUUCUCUCAUGAAAGACUGAGUUAGAAGCAAUAUGGAUAGCUGCUUGAUUGUCACAGUGCAUUGUCAUAGGAGUACUCUGCUCAAUCUCCAGAUGCUUCAAGAUACCCUUGAUCCACACCAACUCGUUUGUCAACUUCAACAUAGCCCUAUAUUCAGCCUCAGCACUUGAACAAGAGAUGACCUUCUUCUUCUUACUCUUCCAAGUAACCAGGUUCCCUCCAAUGAAUGUACAAUAGCCAGUAGUUGAUCUCCUGUCUGUUGAGAUGAGAGAAUAAAGUGUUGAGAUGAAGUGAUGAAGAGUUGAUACAUGGAUAGAGGAAGAGAGUUGGAGCAGACAGUAACUUUGGAGAUUUACCACAGUAACUUAAUUGUUACUGUGGUAACUGAGUUAAAAGGCUUUGGAAGUUACCUUGCAUCCAUUUGGAGAGUGAAACACGCCAGGAGGAGUCUGGAUAAGCAAGGAGGAGUUUGGAUAAGGUCUGGUCAAUGCUAGAGAGCUUUAGACAGGCUGGCACUAGCUGGAAAGUUAAAGCAAGAUACCCAAGCAUGUGAGGAACCUUAUUGGCUAGUUUAAAUCAAGCAUCUUUGACUACACAUGCUUCUUAUCCUAGCUAGACUGAACCUGGACGUUUUUGUGUAUCUCUUAUCUAUAUAUGUUGUAAACUCUCUCAUUAAUCAAUCUAAUGGAGUUUUGAGUCUCUCUCUCUCUCUUGUUCUUAAUCUCCAAUCUCUUUAAUUCUCAGAUUAAACUUAAUCAUUCUUUAAAUCACAAAAUCUAAUAUGGUAUCAGAGCCAGGUUCCUCUAAAAGGAGAGAGUGAUUUCGUUUUUCAAAUGUUCUUGAGUGUUCUUGAGUGUUCUUUGUGAUUUUAGAGAUGAGAAUAGGUAUUGAGAGAUUAGAAAGAGAUUAUGGUGAGAUUAAGGGAAGAUGGGAUGAUUUAUGAAAUGUAAAAGAGAAACAUGAUGAACUAGAGAGAGAUUAUCAUCAAAUCGUGUUAAUCAUUAAUCAAGACAGAGUUUACAAUAUAUAGGAAGAGACAUAAGGGUUUUCAGAAAGCAUAAGCAUGUGAAGUCAAGGAUAAGGUUUGCUUUAAUUCAAACUGAGCCAAUAGGAGAGGCCACACGCUUUUGGUAUCUUUUACUAAGACUGCUUUUGCCAAUACAGCCUGUCCCAGCCUGUCAAGAUAAGACCCAGCUCCCUUAGCCAUCCAAACGGUCAUCUCUUCAUGGUAAAAUCCCCUUUGUGUUGAGAUGAGGUAAUAAAGAGUGACUAUAUUGAUAGAGAAUGAGGAUUGAGACAGACAGUAACUUUGGAGUUACCACAGUAACUUUGGUUUUACUGUGGUAACUAAGUUAAAGCUUGGAAAGUUACUUUGGCUCACAUUGGAGAGUAAGCCACGACCAAGGAGCUGUAUGGAUAAGGGAGGAGCAGUCUGGAUAAGGUUUAGGGCUGGAUAAGGCUGGAGACAGGCUGGAAAGUAGACAGCAUCUAGUAAAAGAUGCCAAAGGGAUCAAGCAUGUGAAGACUCCCAUUGGCUGCUUUUGGAUGGCUCUCUUUGACUACACAUGCCCUGAACCUCUACCUUAUCUGAUUGAUUUCGAAAUUGUCUCUCUCAUAUAAGUAUGUUGUAAACCUCAUCUUUAAUAAUUAAUGGAGUUUUGAGUCUCUCUCUCUCUAGAAUCUCUCUAUUCUCUCUAAAUUCUACUCUAAUCUUCUCUGAUUAUUAUUAAACACACUCUAAAACACAAAAGUGUUUAUGGUAUCAGAGCCAGGUUGCUCAAAAGGGGGUGAGUGUGUGAUUUCAAUUUCGCAAAUCUGAGUGUUCUUGAGUGUUCUUGAGUGUUCUUGGUGUUCUUGAGUUCUGAUCUUUAUUAUCUGAGUGGUGUGAGAUAUUCUGAUGGAUUCAAACUAUCUCAACAUGGAAAUGAAGCACAGAUCUAGUACAACCAUGGAGCUUGAAGAAGAGAGGGAUGGCGAUUGGUCAAGAUGGGCAAAGAGAGCUUUGGAAAGCUGUGGGUUAUGGUGUGGUCAUGUAAAGGGGAAGCCUUUAGUGGAAAUGGCUACUGAAGAAAGGUCCAAACUUGUGAAGGUCAGUGGAGACAAGAGAGUGAUCCGUGGCUUGAGACAAGGAAAGGAUGAGUUGUAUCAGCUUGUGGGAAGGCUGAGAGAAGGAUGGAUGGAGCUGGAUAUGCUGAGACCAAGCACAGCUGAUCCGAGAGUUAUUAAAGAAAGGAGGAAACAAGAUGUGUUCUUUAGCUUUCUUGUGAAGGAGAUAGGGGUUGUUCUUACUCUUCAAGCGUGUGAUUUGUGGGAAGAGAACAAGAGAUCAAACCAGUGGAAAGGUGGUACAAGCUGUAAGAAGGGAAGGCUGAGAAAGCUUUCUAGAGUGUGGCUUAAGAUGGGAAAGGCUUGGAAGAAGAACAUGGAGUCUGGUUAUCUAAGUGAUAAGAUGAGCUUGAAGAUGAUCAAGGAGGUGGCUCAACAAGUGGUAAGAGGAGAGUGUUCUUACUCUGCCUAUAUGAGUAACUCAGUGGAGGAUAGUAUGGUUAUGAAGGAGCAGGAGAUCAAAGGAGCAGAUGACCCUAUCACAAAGAAAGAAUGGGAUGAGUUUGUCAAGUAUGUGUAUGCUUUGGCUACGACCCGGAGACAAGGUGCUCCUGCCUUAGCAUCCACAUCCAAACCCAUUAUCAUUGAUUCUGGAGCAACACAUCAUAUGAUCAGUGAUAGAAGUCUGAUAAGUGAAGUCAAGGCUGCAACAGGGAGUGUCAUGAUAGCUAAUGGUGCUAGGAUCCCAAUAGAAGGAGUGGGAAACCUCAAGCUGUUUGAGAAGAACUCACCUGCGUUCUAUUUGCCUCAAUUCACUUCAAAUCUGAUAUCAGUGAAGAAGGCCACCGUUGAUCUUGAUUGUCAAGUAGUAUUCAGGCCAAAUGAGGUUGAGUUUCAAGACUUGAAGACUGGGAGAGUUAUUGGUAGAGGGGACAGCAGGAAUCAGUUAUAUCAUCUCCAAACAGCUAAGAACUCUAAUCCUAUUGAUUCUAUAUGCUUGAGUAGUACUGCUGAUAGGUGUGACAGUAUUACUUGGCAUGCUAGAUUAGGACAUCCUCAUGCUCGUGCAAUUGAAUUGAUUAGACCUGAUAUGUCAUUCAAUCACUUGGAAUGUGAAGCUUGCAUCUUAGGGAAGCAUUGUAGAACUGUUUUUCCCACAUCAGAGACCAUAUAUGCAAAUUGCUUUGAUCUUGUUCAUUCAGAUGUGUGGACAGCCCCUUGUAUGUCUAGAGAAAACCAGAAGUACUUUGUGACAUUCAUAGAUGAGAAGUCUAAGUAUACAUGGAUCACAUUGCUGCCAUCUAAGGAUAGAGUGUUUGAGGCUUUUGUCAACUUCCAAGCAUAUGUAACUAACCAUUACAAUGCUACUGUGAAGGUACUACGGUCUGAUAAUGGAGGAGAAUACACCAGUCAUGCCUUCAAGAGUCACUUGGCUAAACAUGGGAUAGUGCAUCAAACCAGUUGUCCUUACACACCACAGCAGAAUGGGGUAGCUGAGAGGAAGAAUAGGCAUCUGAUGGAGGUGGCUAGAUCCAUGAUGUAUCAUGCAAAUGUUCCAAAGAGGUUUUGGGGUGAUGCUGUUCAGACUGCAUGCUAUCUCAUCAAUCGGAUUCCAACUAAGGUAUUGAAGAACCUGUCUCCUUUUGAGGUGCUGAACAAGAGCAAGCCAUACAUAGAUCAUCUGCGUGUCUUUGGAUGUCUAUGUUAUGUCUGGGUUCCAGGAGAACAGAGAAACAAGUUGGAGGCAAAGAGCACUAAAGCAAUGCUCAUUGGAUACUCAGUAACUCAGAAGGGGUACAAGUGCUAUGAUCCAGCAACCAGGAGAGUGUUGGUGUCUAGAGAUGUUAAGUUCAUAGAGACCAAGGGGUAUUAUGAAGAAAAGAAUUGGGAAGAUUUGGAAGAUCUGUCUCAAGAACCAAGAAACAUGGCAGAGAAUCUGAGGAACAUAUUGGAAAGGCUUGGGGUAAACAUGUCCCAGGAUAAGGUUAGAGAACCUGAAAGAACAACUCCCCUUGAUCAUGAGGGGGGUAAUGAGUCUGAAUCAGGAGUGCAAGAGCAGCACCAAGGGGAUUCAGGUCAUCAUGAUCAAGUGGUGACACAAGAAGUAGAGAAUUUUCCUCAGGUCAGUGUGGAUGAGCAAGGAGAGGUUCAUGAUCAAGAGGAGGUGAGUGAGACAGAAACAGAGGUUCAAGCAGAGGUUCAAGCUGAGGAACAGGUUCAACCAUUAAGGAGGAGCACACGGAUAAAGAGGGAUGCUUCCAACUGGGUAAACACGAGAGUAUACUACAAUGCCCAGGCUGUGGAGCAUCCUUCUCAAGCUGUGUGUUCCUUUGUGUUGAGAUGAGGAGUUGAGAUGAAGGCUUAGAGAGGCUUGGGUAAUGAAAGGGAUGAGGAGAUGAAGUUCAGGGUGAAGUGUACGGAGUUACCAUGUCCGUACCAUUUGGAGUUACCACGGUAAAUAAGAGAUUGAACAACAAGAAGGAGGGAAAGGCCAAAGACACUUAUGCAAAGGGAAGGUCACGGCCAAAGAAGGGAGAUGACCGUUUAUGGAUAAGAGGAGGCACGGCUUUACAGCUGGGACAGGCUGUAAAGGUGUUUGGCAUCUGAUCCAAGAUGCUAAAGGGAUCAAACGUGUGAUGGCCCCUAUUGGACGGAUUCAAAACCGGCCAGCUCUUACCAUUUGACUUCACAUGCUUAAGCUACCUUAACCCAUUUCGAAAACCCUAUGUCCUCUAAGUAUAAAUAUGUAAUCUCCUCAUUAAUAAGAGAUCAGACAGUUCUAUCCAAUUAAUCACUCUAGUCUUUCAUAAUGAUUCCUCACUAGUCAUCUAAUCACAUAAUCAUCUCCUUAUUCAUCCUAAAUCAUUCUACUCUUUCACAUACAAACUCAGAUUAUCUAAAACUCUUAUGGUAUCAGAGCCAGGUUACAAAGAAUCUGAGUUCUUAUUUUGAUACACUGAAGAACAAAGGUGAAGCUUUGAAGCCAUCCAAGGAAGAUCAGAGCUCAAGGGUGUUCAUUUGGUGUGUGCGCGAGUUCUAAACAAGUUAAGAUCCAUUCAUACAAGAGUCAUCCGUUCAAAGCUCCAUCCCUCUCAAGUUUUUGAAGUUAAGCUGUGACAAGAUGGAGAACAUGAAGAUGAAAGUGGCGAUUACCUUCAAGGGAAGCAACUACUUGGUUUGGUCCCGGCUGGUGAAGACAACCAUUGGGAGAAAGGGCUUGUGGAGUCAUAUCACAACCGGUGAAGCUCCAAAGCUCAUUACUCAGGAAGAAGACCAAGAGGGGGUCUCAGUUGAUGCUGUAGAGAAGUGGCAGCAGGAAGACAUGGUGGUGAUGUCUGUUCUUCAUGGGUCGUUGGAGCCAGCGAUAUUGGAGGCAUACAGCUACUGUGAGUCAGCCAAGGAGCUGUGGGACACCUUGAAGAAGGUGUAUGGGAACAUUUCGAACCUGAGCCGUGUCUUUGAGGUAAAGCAAGCCAUCAACAAUCUUGCACAAGAAGACAUGGAGUUCACCAAGCAUUUGGGAAGAUUCAGGGCGUUGUGGUCAGAGCUAGAGAUGUUGAGGCCGAGUACAACUGAUCCAGAUCAGUUGAAUGAGAGGCGGGAGCAAGACAAAGUGUUCGGCUUGCUUCUCACACUAAACCCGGCCUACAACAGUCUCAUCAAGCACAUGUUGAGAGCUGAUAAGCUACCUGAUCUAGAGGACGUGUGUGCACAGAUUCAGAAAGAACAAGGCUCCAUUGGACUGUUUGGAGGCAAAGGAGAACUCACAUUGGCAAAUCAUGCGUCCCAAGUGAAUCAGACUGAAGCUCCUCAAGCUAACAAGGCAGUUCAUGGCAAGUAUGAAGACAAGAGGUUCAAUGGGAAUUGUGAUCACUGCAAGAAGCAUGGACACAAGAAGAGUCAAUGCUGGAUACUCCACCCUCACUUGAAAACCGGCUCCACUUGCUCUUCUUCUGAACUGGCCAGUCUGACUUGUUCUUCUACACUAGACUGAACCUCAUCCACUUCUCCACUAGACUGAACCUCAUUGUUCGCAACUUCUUGUGAUGUAUCUUGAUCAUGAAGACCUGAAUCCUCUUGGUUUUGCUCUUGCUCACCAGAUUCAGUUCCAUUCCCCCUCUCAUGAUCAAGAGGAGUUGUUCUUCCAGCUCCACCACUCUGAUUGGGAGACUCCCUCCUUCCGGUUUCCUGAUCCUGGGAUAAUCCUAUCCCGAGCUUCUCUAACAACACUCUCAGUAUUGUUGCCUUAUCAGAUGGAGCUUGAGACAAAUCCUUCAGAUUUUCCCACUCCUUUUCUUCAUAAUAACCUUUUGUUUCAACAAACUUCACUUCUCUAGAUACCAUCACUCUCCUUGCUUCAGGAUCAUAGCACUUGUACCCCUUCUGAGUGAUAGAGUAACCAAUGAACAUAGCCUUAGUACUCUUUGCCUCCAGCUUGUUUCUCUGCUCUCCUGGAACCAUGACAUAGCACACACACCCAAAGACACGUAGAUGAUCAAUGACAGGUUUGCUCUUGUUCAACACUUCAAAUGGAGACAGAUUCUUCAAUAUCUUGGUUGGAACCCGGUUGAUGAGAUAGCAAGCAGUCUGAACAGCAUCACUCCAAAAACGUUUUGGGACAUUUGCAUGAAACAUCAUCGAUCUAGCAACCUCCAUCAAGUGCCUGUUCUUCCUCUCAGCUACACCAUUCUGCUGUGGUGUAUAAGGGCAGCUAGUCUGAUGCACAAUCCCAUGCUUGGCUAGAUGAUUCUUGAAGGCAUUGCUGAUGUAUUCACCUCCAUUAUCUGAUCUCAGUACCUUCACAAUAGCAUUGUAUUGAUUAGAUACAUAUGCUUGGAAGUUCAUAAAUGCUUCUAGCACCCUAUCUUUAGAUGGAAGCAAUGUAAGCCAAGUAUACUUAGACUUCUCAUCAAUGAAUGUCACAAAGUACUUCUGGCUAUCUCUAGACAAACAAGGAGCCGUCCACACAUCUGAAUGAACUAGAUCAAAGCAAUGCUCAUAAGUAGUUUCUGAACUUGGAAACACAGUCCUACAAUGCUUUCCUAAUAUGCAAGCCUCACACUCUAAGUGAUUAAAUGACAUAUUAGGCAUGAUCAAUUCAAUUGCACGAGCAUGAGGAUGUCCCAAUCUAGCAUGCCAAGUCAUACUAUCACACCUAUCAACAGCACUACUUAAGCACACAGAAUCAAGGAGUUUAGAAUUCUUAGCCAUUUGAAGAUGGUAUAGCUGAUUCUUGCUGUCUCCUCUGCCAAUAACUCUCCCAGUCUUCAAAUCUUGAAACUCAACUUCAUCAGGUCUGAAUACUACUUGACAAUCAAGAUCAAUGGUAGCUUUCUUCACAGAUAAUAGAUUUGAAGUGAACUGAGGCAUGUAGAAGGCAGCUGUGUCCUUCUCAAACAGUUUUAGCUUUCCCACUCCUUCUAUUGGGAUCAUGGCACCAUUUGCUAUCAUAACACUCCCUGUUGCAGCCUUGAUCUCACUUAUAAGCCUCCUAUCACUGAUCAUAUGAUGGCUUGCUCCAGAAUCAAUCACAAUGGGUUUAGAAGCUCCGGAUUGUAUAGCAUGCUUCCUGCUUGCUGCUAAGGCUUGUACUUGUUCCAUGAACACUCUCCAUUCUUUCCUGGUGAUGCGAUCAUCAGCUCCACUCCCUUUCUCCUGCUCUUUUAACACCCCACUGUCUUCUACUGAUUCCCCCAUGUAGGCUGAGUAAGAACACUCUCCCACAACUCUCUUCCUACCCUUUCCUAUGUUGAUAGAAGCUUUGGAUAGCAUUCUGCACCUCCUCUUCUUCCGGAAGCCCUCACUCCUACUCCCAGUUAGCCUCCAUGAGCUCUCACUCCUACUCAUGGUUAGCUUCUGGAAGCUCUCACUCCUACUCCCAGUUGGCCUCCAUGAGCUCUCACUCCUACUCAUGGUUAGCCUCUCAUCACCUCUCAUUAUCUCAUACGCCCUUCUUAUAAGCACACAGAUCUCUUCCAUUUCCGGAAGCUGUUCCCCUCUUAGAACCAUCUCCACCAGCCACCCAUAUGAUGACUCCAUGCUCGCCAAGAGCUUCAAGACUGUCGCUUGCUCUUGUGUAGUAUCCCCAUCCACAUGGGAUCUCAACCCUUGUAGUUCAACCCACAAAUGUUGUAGCUUCCUCACAUGAUUAUUGAACCCUUCUCUUCCUGGUUUAACUUCACUAAUCACCUUCUUGACUUCAUACACUCUCCUAAGACUGAUCUUGUUCUCAUAAACAUCUUCAAUCUUCUCAAGCAGUGUACUUUCUUCAAGACUAAAGCAAUCUCCAUUUGUUUCUCUUGCUGUCUGAUCAUUCUCAGCAGCUUUACCCAUCAAAGACUCUUUCUUCUCAUGGUUUCUCCNNNNNNNNNNNNNNNNNNNNNNNNNNNNNNNNNNNNNNNNNNNNNNNNNNNNNNNNNNNNNNNNNNNNNNNNNNNNNNNNNNNNNNNNNNNNNNNNNNNNNNNNNNNNNNNNNNNNNNNNNNNNNNNNNNNNNNNNNNNNNNNNNNNNNNNNNNNNNNNNNNNNNNNNNNNNNNNNNNNNNNNNNNNNNNNNNNNNNNNNNNNNNNNNNNNNNNNNNNNNNNNNNNNNNNNNNNNNNNNNNCUUGUAUAACAUGGCAGAAUCACUCCUAAGAUAAUCAUCUGCCUCACCUUAUGACAAUCCACCUCUAUGUGCUUUGUUCUCUCAUGAAACACCGAGUUGGAGGCAAUGUGGAUAGCUGCUUGGUUAUCACAAUGCAUUGUCAUAGGCGCGGCUUGAUCAAUCUCCAAAUGCUUCAAGAUGCCUUUGAUCCACACCAGCUCGUUGGUAAGCUUCAGCAUAGCUCUAUACUCAGCUUCUGCACUUGAGCAAGAGACCACCUUCUGCUUCUUACUCUUCCAUGUAACCAAGUUGCCUCCAAUGAAUGUGCAAUAGCCGGUUGUUGAUCUCCUGUCAGCUCUAUCUCCUGCCCAAUCAGCAUCACAAUAGCCCACCACUUCAGUGCUUCCAUUGCACCCCAUCCAGACUCCUUGAUCUGGCGAGCCAUUCAGAUACAUCAGCAGCCUCUCCACCAUGUGCCAAUGAUGUUCCUUGGGAAGCUGCAUAUGUUGACUCACCUGAUUCACAGCAAAACAUAUGUCAGGUCUUGUGAUGGUAAGGUAAAUCAAUUUGCCAACAAGUUUUCUAUAGAGUUUAGGAUCAUGAAAUGGCUUGCUGUCUUCAAUCUCCCCCUCUCUUGGUACUUUGUAGCCAUCCUCCAUAGGCAUCCUUGCUGUCUUGCCUCCAUAAGCACCUGCAUCUUUCAAAAGAUCAAGUGUAUACUUCCUUUGGGACAUGAAUAACCCUUCCUUGGAUCUACAAAUCUCAAUUCCAAGAAAGUAUUUCAUUUCUCCCAAAUCUUUGAUUUCAAACAUGGAUUUGAGAAACUCCUUGGUUGCUUUGAUACCCUCCUUAUCACUUCCUGUGAUAAUGAUAUCAUCCACAUACACAAGGAGAGCAACCAUACCUGAGGGUGUAGUGAGGGUGAAAAGUGUGUGAUCUAACUCUGACUUCCUGAAGCCACGUCCAUUCAAGGUUGUGCUCAACUUGUUAUACCACGCUCUUGGUGAUUGCUUCAAGCCAUAGAUAGCUUUCUUUAACCUCAGUACAUUCCCUUUCUUCACUAGAUGUUCUAGGCCUGGUGGAGGAUACAUGUAGACUUCAUCCUCAAGUUCCCCUUGUAAGAAUGCAUUCUUUACAUCCAUUUGCCACAAUCCCCAUCCAAGAUUAACUGCCAAGCUUAGAACAAUCCUAAUGGUGUGUAGCUUAGCUACAGGGGCAAAUGUCUCAAUGUAAUUGUGACACCCCGAUUUACAUAAUAAAAUGUUACGAUAAGUAAAUAGCUCUGAUACCAAAAUGUGACACCCGCCACUUUCAAAAUAAAAUAAAUUGAUAAAAGCGAAAAUAAAAUAAUAAUACAACUCAAAUAAUAAUAAUCUUCUUAUAAUAUAAUAGUCGAUACGGUAACAAAAGGCCUAAAAGCCCAACAUCGAUAACAUCCGAAAUAUAAAAUACGAUAUAAACCAAAAGUCUGAAAUAGGAAUAACGUAGGCGAUAAAAGUCCAAAGGCCUGGAGGCCCGAUAACGAUAAAAGCGAUAAAACGAUAGAAGCCCAAAAGCCCAAUAGCACCAGUCCGAUAAUCACUCCUGCUCGUCGGUCUCACCUGAAAGGGGGAAAUAAGGAGGGGUGAGCGACAGGGGAAUCGCCCAGUGAGGUAUGGGAUGCUAAACCGCAAACCACUGACUCAGUUCAUAGCACUACAACUAUGUAGGCAUAGCUCUAGCAUGAGACAAUCACGGUGCCUAUUACACCACACAAAACAAUCACAUAUGUCUAGUGGACUAGACAUGAUACAACCAAUGCGAUAAUAGCAUAUCACAUUUCCUCAUAAGGAUAUAUAUACUUUACAGGCGUCGCUAGCACAGUAGUCCACACUGCACCCCGCAAAUCUCUAAGGCGUCGUAAGUACAAACGUCUCUGUACCCCCGCAAAUCUCCACAAACAUGGCAGCCAGUGCAAACGUCUCUGCACCCCGCAAAACUCCUCAAACAUAGGCAGCCAGUGCAAACGUCUCUGCACCCCGCAAAUCUCCAAAACAUGGACUCGUAUAUAUAUACAUAUAUAUAACAAUUCUUAACAUCAAUCAUUUCAAUCAACCGUUGAAUCCUCUAUUAUCCUAUUUCCGGUUUAACAAUCAAUAAUAAUAAUAAACAAGCAAGACUCUCAAACAGACUCGAUUCACAGAGACGGAUCAUGUUUCGAAACUAAACUUUCCAUAACGGUAGUACUAAACUAGCUCGGGAUUUAACGGAGUAGCCCUCACCUUAGCAAUGAAGAGAAGUGGUAUAUAUGAACUCCAGCUGCUCAAAUGGACUCCAAAUCUGAAAUCAGAUCGAAAUUUCGAGUCAGAACGCCUUUCGAACGGUUUAAAACGGGUAUUUACGGAAAAGUCAACCCGCUGGUCAAAGAUCAAUUAUUUAAUUAAUUAAUUAAUUGAUUAAUUAAUUAAUUAAUCCGGUUUUCCCUAACCGAUUACCAAUUGAUUUUAACCGACCGGUUUAACCUAACCGAAUCGAAAUCGAUUUAAACCGGUCAAACCACCGGUUAACCGAGUCAACCGAGUUGACUCACCGGGUCGACUCGGCCGAGUUGGCGAGUCGCCGGCGAGUCACCGGUGUCGGUCAUCGGCGGCGACGGCGGAGCUACGGCGGCGGCUUACCGGUAAGUUGGCCGGCGGCGACGGCGGAGCUGCGGCGGAGAACGGUGGUCCGGCGGCGGCGCUGCGGCGGAGGACGGUGGUCCGGCGGCGGCGCGUGGAACUCACGCGCGCGCGGAGGUGAAACUUCCGGAGGCGCGUACGGCUUCGUCCGGGCUCCGAUCGUGACGCGGUUGGUGUCUACGGCUUCGUCUUGACGAGAGGAACACGAUGAUGGCCUUGGAUGCACGAGAUUCACUACGGUUAGAAAGUUAUGACCGAUUUACUAAAACGACCGAAACAUAACUCAAACACAUGGCGGUUUCCGGUUACCUCGAGCUGCGGUUGAUGGUGAUGACGAGCUUGACGACGUCCUGGCGUGCGGUGGCUCCGGCGAGGACUCCUGGUGAGCUCUCUCUCUCUCUCUCUCUCUCUCUCUUUUUAAAGAAACCAAAUGUGGCCUUUGGGGAUAGUUUGGGGUUGGGGUCAUUACAGUAAUCCUCCCCAUAUGUCUGAGUGAACCCUCUUGCUACUAGUCUAGUUUUCUUCCUCUCAAUCUGUCCAUCAGCCUUGUAUUUGAUUGUGAAGAUCCAUCUACUAGACACUGCUUUCUUCCCUUUUGGUAGUUCACUCUCAUACCAUGUAUCAUUCUUUAUCAUAGCUCCUGCCUCAGCUCCUACUGAUUCCUUCCAUUCCUUAUCCUUCAUUGCCUCUUCAUAGCUUCUUGGGAUGUGAUUCUCAUCGAAGUUUACCAUGAAGGCACAAUGUGCUUCUGGAUAUUGAGCAAAGGAGCACACGGCUUGAGAGGGAUGCUCCACAGCUUGGGCAUUGUAGUACACUCUCGUGUUUACCCAGCUAGAAGGAUCCUUCCUUAUCCUUGUACUCCUUCUUAGUGGUUGCACAACCGGUUCUUCUUCCUGUUGUUCUUCUACCACUUCGUUUUGAGAAGGUGUUUGUAUCACACCAUGAUCAUGCCCAUGACCAUCAGAGCCUAUGCUCUCUUCUCCUUCAUCCUCUACUCCUCCAUCAUCUUGGUUAGCCUCUUACAUAGGCUCUUCAUGCUCCUCUCCUCCCUCAUGAUCAAGGUGGGAUGGUGAACCAACUUCAGGAGGUGUAGUCGUGUGAUCUCUUGGAUCCUGGGAUGUACUGAUUCCAAGACCUUCAAGGAUGAUCCGCAAGGUGGUGGCCUUGUCUGAUGUCAAGUCCUUCAGGUCUUCUUGAUUCUUUUCUUCAUAGUACCCUCUAUCUUCUAAGAACUUCACGUCUCUAGAUACAAGUACUCUUCUUGCUAUAGGAUCAUAGCACUUGUAUCCUUUCUGUGUAGCUGAGUAUCCUAUGAAUACAGCCUUAGUACUUCUUGCUUCUAGCUUGUUGCGCAUCUCUCCUGGUUUGAGCACAAAGCAUAGACAUCCAAAGACUUUCAAGUAAUCAAGAACUGGCUUGUACUUGUUUAGAACUUCAAAUGGAGCCUUCUCAUUCAGAAUCUUGGUUGGAGUUCUAUUGAUCAAGUAACAAGCAGUGGCAACUGCAUCACUCCAAAAUCUCUUUGGGACGUUACUCUGAAACAUAAGUGACCUUGCUACUUCCAUGAGGUGCCUAUUCUUCCUCUCAGCCACUCCAUUUUGCUGUGGAGUAUACGGACAGCUUGUUUGAUGUAGAAUCCCAUAUUGUGAUAAGUGCUGCUUGAAUGCAUUGCUUGUGUACUCUCCUCCAUUAUCUGAUCUCAAAAUUUUAAUCUUAGCAUGAUAAUGGUUAGUCACAUACGUUUGAAAGUUCCUAAAUGCAUCAAGUACCCUAUCUUUGGUCUGAAUUAAGGUUAACCAGGUGUAUUUGGAUUUUUCAUCAAUGAAUGUGACAAAAUACUUAUAGCUAUCUCUAGAUAAGCAAGGGGCAGUCCAUACAUCUGAAUGAACUAGAUCAAAGCAAUUCUCAUAAACAGUAGUAGACUUUUGAAACACAGUUCUACAAUGCUUGCCUAAGAUGCAAGCUUCACAAUUUUUGUUUUCAAACACAACACCUGGUACCAUUAAGUUCAAAGCUUUAACAUGAGGGUGUCCUACUCUAGCAUGCCACAAUGCAUGUUUAUUCAACAAAGAAGCAGAAGUAAACGAGCAACUAUAAUCAGGAACAGAAGUGAGUUCUUCAAGCAUAUAGAGAUCUCCUUUAGUCACCCCUUUCCCAAUCAAUCUGCUGCUCUCAAUAUCCUGAAACUUCACAUCAUUAGGACUAAAGAUAACAUUGCAUUGUAAAUCAUUAGUACAUUUCUUUACAGAUAAUAGGUUUGAUGUGAAUUCAGGCAUGUAAAAGGCUUUAGAUUCUUUGUUAAACAACUUAAGCUUUCCUAUUCCCUUAAUAGGUAUCUUAUCUCCAUUUGCUAUCAUCACAUGUCCAUGAGUAGGUUCUAUAUCCUUAAUCAGUUUCUCAUCACUUAUCAUAUGAUGUGAUGCACCAGAAUCAACAAUCAAUGGUUUAUCUACUCGUUUAGCAUUAUGACAUAGAUUACUAAGUGAUGAAUGCAUCCUAUCAUUUCUAGCAAUGUGUGCACAUCUAUACUCAUUCCUAGCCUCUAACCGUUCUACUAGUUCUCUAAUCAAGUGAUCAUCCUUAUAUGCAAUCAUAGAUGCUCCAAAGGAAUAACCAUAAGUGUUACCGUUUUCCUUUAGCAUUUUGAAGAGCGCAUCAAGGUCUGAUCUCCUGAUGUAGUCAUCAUUGCUGCGUGAGCUUGAGGCGCCUGUGUAAGCCACCAGAGACUUCCCAUUCCCAUCAUUGCCUCCAUGACCAUCCACUUCACUUGUCUUGAUGGUGCCAGCUCCACUUGAUCCUUCAGUCACAUUUUCCCUUCCCUCACGCUCCUUCAUGAACUUGGCCGGCUUGAGGUGUGGGUGUAGUAUCCAGCAUUGGCUCUUCUUAUGACCAUGCUUCUUGCAAUGAUCACAGUUGCCAUUGAACUUCCUGUCCUCAUACUUCCCGUGAGAUGCCUUGUUUGCUUGUGGAGCUUCGGUCAAGUCCUCAUGAGCUGCUUGAUUGGCAAGAGAGAGCUCCCCCUUUCCUCCAAACAACCCCAUAGACCCCUGCUCCCUUUGGAUUUGCGCACACACAUCCUCAAGGUCCGGAAGCUUGUCAGCUCUCAACAUGUGCUGGAUGAGUUGAGUGUAGGCCGGGUUCAGCGUGAGAAGCAGCCCAAAGACCUUAUCUUGCUCACGCCUCUCAUUCAGCUGAUCAGGAUCAGUUGUGCUCGGCCUCAGCAUCUCCAGUUCUGACCAUAAGGACCUGAACCUUCCCAAGUGCUUAGUGAACUCCAUAUCCUCUUGCACUAGACGGUUGAUAGCUUGCUUUACUUCAAACACACGGCUGAGGUUGGAGAUGUUCCCAUACACCUUCUUCAGCGUGUCCCACAGCUCUUUGGCUGACUCACAGUAGCUGUAGGCAUCUAAGAUAGCUGGAUCCAAGGAUGCGUGUAGAACCGUCAUCACCAGCAUGUCUUCUUGUUGCCAUUUCUCAACAGCCGCUUCAUUGGAGACCUCUUCUUGAUCUCCUCCCUGAGUAAUGAGUUUCGGAGCCUCCCCUGUUGUGAUGUGCCCCCACAAACCCUUACUUCCCACAGCAGUCUUCACCAUCCGAGACCACACAAGAUAGUUGUUACCUUUGAAAGUAACCGCUACCUUCAUCCUCAUGUUCAUACCAUGUUCCAUCUUUGCUUAGCUUGACUUGAACAACUUGAAUCUGAUGAAAUCUUGAGUCUUGAAUCACGUACACACACCAAUCUUGAGUCUAGGAUCGCACACACACACCGAACGUAGCACAGCCCAAACACCUUCAAAGCCACUCGCGUGUAGCUUCAAAGCCUUCAGCUUGUAAAUCUCUAAAGAUCAAACCCCAGAUCCUAAUGAACCUGGCUCUGAUACCAUAUGAGAUUUAGAGAUCCUUAGAGUAACUAGAGUAUAAGUGAGAGUUUAAGUAGAGAUUAGAAAGAGAUUGUGAAAGAUUAAGAGACUUGAGAGCUGUUUAGUGUCUAAGAGAGAAUCAUGGUGCCUUAAGAGAUUAGAGAGAGACUCAGAACUGUCUGGCUUUAUUAAUGAGUGAGGUUACAUAUUUAUAUUGUUCUAGACAUUAGGGUUUUCGAAACACAAGAGUAGAUAAGCAUGUGAGGUCAAGGGAGGAGCCUUUGCUUUUGUUUGAACCGGCCAAUGACUGUCCUCACACGUUCGGGCAUCUUCCUGAUCCAAGUCCAAGAUGCUCUUCCUUUCCAGCCCUUGCCAGCCUGUCCUAGCUGUCAAGCCGCGCCUCCCUUAUCCACUCCAACGUCUGGAUAAGCUUUUGGUCAAGUGUAACUUCACCUCGGUCCAUACGAGUUACUCGGUGAAGUUACCAUCCUAGUUUUACCUUGGUACGGUCAGUGUACGGAUGGCCCGUCCAUACCAUGCCUUAGCUCACUCUUCACUCCCUUUCCUUUCACUCCUUAGCUUUCUCAUGUCCUUAACUCCUCAAUGCCUUCACAUAUACCUCAACACAUCUCAACACCUUAGUGGCCUGAAUCCCUGCCUUAUCACUUCCUGUGAUAAUCAAAUCAUCCACAUAUACUAGAAUCACAAUGCUCCCUGAAGGUCCUGUCAAGGUGAAGAGAGUGUGAUCUAGUUCAGACUUCCUAAAGCCUCUCCCAUUGAGUGUUGUACUCAGCUUCCUGUACCAAGCUCUAGGUGACUGCUUCAACCCAUAUAUUGCUUUUUUCAAUCUCAAAACAUUCCCUGGCUUUACUAGAUGCUCAAGACCAGGAGGUGGAUGCAUGUAUACUUCAUCUUCAAGUUCACCUUGCAAGAAAGCAUUCUUCACAUCCAUUUGCCACAAAUCCCACUCCAAGUUUGUUGCAAUGGAUAACACAAUUCGAAUUGUGUGAAGCUUGGCCACUGGUGCAAAAGUAUCAAUGUAAUCUUCCCCAUAAGUCUGUGUAAAUCCUCUUGCAACUAGCCUAGUCUUGCGCCUAUCUAUCUCCCCAUUUGCAAGAUACUUGAUGGUGAAGAUCCAUCUGCUUGAAACUGCCUUCUUCCCUUUAGGUAACUCACUCUCAUACCAAGUAUCAUUCCUGAUCAUUGCAUCCCUUUCAUCUCCUACUGAAUCUCUCCAAACCUUGUGCUCAAUAGCUUCUUCAUAAGAUCUUGGUAUCUCAUUCUCAUCCAAGUUACACAUAAACACCAUGUGCUCUUCUGGAUAUUCUGCAAAGGAACAUACGGCUUGAGAAGGAUGCUCCACAGCCUGGGCAUUGUAGUACACUCUCGUGUUUACCCAGUUGGAAGCAUCCCUCUUUAUCCUUGUGCUCCUUCGCAAAACCUGAACCUGAUCCUCAGCUUGAACCUCUGCUUGAACCUCUGUUUCUGUCUCACUCACCUCCUCUGGAUCAUGAACCUCUCCCUGCUCAUUCACACCGACCUGAGGAACAUUUUCUACUUCUUGUCUCACCUCUUGAUCAUGAUGACCUGAAUCCUCUUGGUGCUGCUCUUGCACUCUUGAUUCAGACUCCAUUCCCCCCUCAUGAUCAAGGGGAGUUGUUCUUUCAACUUCUCUAACCUUAUCUUGGGACAUGUUUACCCCAAGCCUUUCCAAGAUGUUCCUCAGAUUCUCUGCCAUGUUUCUUGGUUCUUGAGACAGAUCUUCCAAGUCUUCCCAAUUCUUUUCUUCAUAAUACCCCUUUGUCUCUAUGAACUUAACAUCUCUAGACACCAGCACUCUCCUGGUUGCUGGAUCAUAGCACUUGUACCCCUUCUGAGUUACUGAGUAUCCAAUGAGCAUUGCUUUAGUGCUCUUUGCCUCCAACUUGUUUCUCUGUUCUCCUGGAACCCAGACAUAACAUAGACAUCCAAAGACACGCAGAUGAUCUAUGUGUGGCUUGCUCUUGUUCAGCACUUCAAACGGAGACAGAUUCUUCAAUACCUUAGUUGGAAUCCGAUUGAUAAGAUAGCAUGCAGUCUGAACAGCAUCACCCCAAAACCUCUUUGGAACAUUUGCAUGAUACAUCAUGGAUCUAGCCACCUCCAUCAGAUGCCUAAUCUUCCUCUCAGCUACCCCAUUCUGCUGUGGUGUGUAAGGACAACUGGUCUGAUGCACUAUCCCAUGUUUAGCCAAAUGAUUCUUGAAGGCAUGACUGGUGUAUUCUCCUCCAUUAUCAGACCGUAGUACCUUCACAGUAGCAUUGUAAUGGUUAGUUACAUAUGCUUGGAAGUUGACAAAAGCCUCAAACACUCUAUCCUUAGAUGGCAGCAAUGUGAUCCAUGUAUACUUAGACUUCUCAUCUAUGAAUGUCACAAAGUACUUCUGGUUUUCUCUAGACAUACAAGGGGCUGUCCACACAUCAGAAUGAACAAGAUCAAAGCAAUUUGCAUAUAUGGUCUCUGAUGUGGGAAAAACAGUUCUACAAUGCUUCCCUAAGAUGCAAGCUUCACAUUCCAAGUGAUUGAAUGACAUAUUAGGUUUAAUCAAUUCAAUUGCACGAGCAUGAGGAUGUCCUAAUCUAGCAUGCCAAGUAAUGUUAACUUGAAGAGAAGAAGUGGAGAAGCAAAAGUGAUGAGUUGAGUUGGUGCUUGUGCAAAGACAUGGCAAGAUCUUCAGAGAUUGUAUGUUAAGGCUUUGGGAGAGUCUUAAGGCUUCAGAAGUGGUCUGAUGAGUGUGCAAAGAUAGGGUUAAGUCCAGGAGGGACUUAGACACCAUUUAGAGAAGAUUUGGGUCAGACAGUAACUCUAAAGUUACCACAGUAACUUUAGAGAGUUACCACAGUAAGAUUUGAGAAGUUUGGGCAAGUUGGUGUAAAAGUGAAUAGUGAAUCACUAGUCACUAUUCAGGUUGACUAUUCACUAUUUGGGUCACUAUUUAUGAUGUGAAGAGUGCAUAGUAUAUGGAUAAGGCACCAAGGUUUGAAUCUAGUCAAAGGGAAUCAAGAAGAUGCUUUGUGGAGGCAAACAACCAAUGGGAGCUUCCUUGUGUGUGAUUGGCUAGUUCUGGUCUUGGACAGGCUGUCUCUUGCUGUAAAGAGAAGGGAGCUGUAAUGACCCACCAUCUCCACUAUCCCCACCAUCUCCACCAUCCCCACCAUCUCCACCAUCUCCAUUAUCUCCACCAUCUCCACUUCUUUAAAGAGAGAGAGAGAGAGAGAGAGAGAAAGAGAGAGAGAGAAAGAGAGAGAGAAAGAGAGAGAAAGCUCACCUGAGCUCGUCGCCGGAGCCACCGCACGCCAGGACGUCGUCAAGCUCGUCAUCACCAUCAACCGCAGCUCGAGGUAACCGGAAACCGCCAUGUUUUGAGUUAUGUUUCGGUCGUUUUAGUAAAUCGGUCAUAACUUUCUAACCGUAGUGAAUCUCGUGCAUCCAAGGCCAUCAUCGUGUUCCUCUCGUCAAGACGAAGCCGUAGACACCAACCGCGUCACGAUCGGAGCCCGGACAAAGCCGUACGCGCCUACGGAAGUUUCACCUCCGCGCGCGCGUGAGUUCCACGCGCCGCCGCCGGACCACCGUCCUCCGCCGCAGCGCCGCCGCCGGACCACCGUUCUCCGCCGCAGCUCCGCCGUCGCCGCCGGCCAACUUACCGGUAAGCCGCCGCCGUAGCUCCGCCGUCGCCGCCGAUGACCGACACCGGUGACUCGCCGGCGACUCGCCAACUCGGCCGAGUCGACCCGGUGAGUCAACUCGGUUGACUCGGUUAACCGGUGGUUUGACCGGUUUAAAUCGAUUUCGAUUCGGUUAGGUUAAACCGGUCGGUUAAAAUCAAUUGGUAAUCGGUUAGGGAAAACCGGAUUAAUUAAUUAAUUAAUCAAUUAAUUAAUUAAUUAAAUAAUUGAUCUUUGACCAGCGGGUUGACUUUUCCGUAAAUACCCGUUUUAAACCGUUCGAAAAGCGUUCUGACUCGAAAUUUCGAUCUGAUUUCAGAUUUGGAGUCCAUUUGAGCAGCUGGAGUUCAUAUAUACCACUUCUCUUCAUUGCUAAGGUGAGGGCUACUCCGUUAAAUCCCGAGCUAGUUUAGUACUACCGUUAUGGAAAGUUUAGUUUCGAAACAUGAUCCGUCUCUGUGAAUCGAGUCUGUUUGAGAGUCUUGCUUGUUUAUUAUUAUUAUUGAUUGUUAAACCGGAAAUAGGAUAAUAGAGGAUUCAACGGUUGAUUGAAAUGAUUGAUGUUAAGAAUUGUUAUAUAUAUGUAUAUAUAUACGAGUCCAUGUUUUGGAGAUUUGCGGGGUGCAGAGACGUUUGCACUGGCUGCCUAUGUUUGAGGAGUUUUGCGGGGUGCAGAGACGUUUGCACUGGCUGCCAUGUUUGUGGAGAUUUGCGGGGGUACAGAGACGUUUGUACUUACGACGCCUUAGAGAUUUGCGGGGUGCAGUGUGGACUACUGUGCUAGCGACGCCUGUAAAGUAUAUAUAUCCUUAUGAGGAAAUGUGAUAUGCUAUUAUCGCAUUGGUUGUAUCAUGUCUAGUCCACUAGACAUAUGUGAUUGUUCUGUGUGGUGUAAUAGGCACCGUGAUUGUCUCAUGCUAGAGCUAUGCCUACAUAGUUGUAGUGCUAUGAACUGAGUCAGUGGUUUGCGGUUUAGCAUCCCAUACCUCACUGGGCGAUUCCCCUGUCGCUCACCCCUCCUUAUUUCCCCCUUUCAGGUGAGACCGACGAGCAGGAGUGAUUAUCGGACUGGUGCUAUUGGGCUUUUGGGCUUCUAUCGUUUUAUCGCUUUUAUCGUUAUCGGGCCUCCAGGCCUUUGGACUUUUAUCGCCUACGUUAUUCCUAUUUCAGACUUUUGGUUUAUAUCGUAUUUUAUAUUUCGGAUGUUAUCGAUGUUGGGCUUUUAGGCCUUUUGUUACCGUAUCGACUAUUAUAUUAUAUGAAGAUUAUUAUUAUUUGAGUUGUAUUAUUAUUUUAUUUUCGCUUUUAUCAAUUUAUUUUAUUUUGAAAGUGGCGGGUGUCACAGGAGCCACGACCAUGAACCUGGACAGAUGCAUGGGAAGAUUAGGAGGAGCCUAAGGAGAGCCAAUCACAAGCAAAGAGCCAGCUUGCCUUGGUUUGAAUUAAAGUGAGCCAGCUUAGCUUAUCCAAUCAGCACACAUCACUCAGAUUGCAACAAGACCAACUCAUCCCCACCAUCCAUUCCUCUUAAGUUAUUUCUAUCCAUUAGAUAUAGGUUUAUGAGUUUGCAAGAGUGUAAAACCUAUAUAAAGACCCUCAUGGGCGUUUGUAACUCUCUUAAGAGAGUAUGGGGGGUUUCCCCAUCUCCUUCAUAAUUAUAAAAGUGUGUUCUUGAUCAGAUUCCCUUAAUCUACCUCUUUCUUAGUCUCUAAUCUUCUUAAUCUCUCAAAGUCUCUUUGUUUCUGAUUCAAGUUCAUACUAGUUUCAUCAAACCUCUUAUUCAACUAGUUCAAGACCUUAUCUUUGCCUUUAAUGGCUUUUCAUACACAUACACAGCCAGAACUCUCAAAUCUCACAUGGUAUCAGAGCCAGGUUUGUUGAGAUGAGUUGAGACAUAUGAGAUAAGAGGUAAAGACACAAAGGAGUUGAGGACAUAAAGAGGGCAAAGGAGUUAAGAGAAGAAAUGGGUUGAUAGGGAUGGUACGGACGGAUAGGCCGUACCAUUGGCCGUACAAAGGUAAAAGCGGCCAAGUAACUCUCCGGGUAACUUACAUGGACUUACUUGAAGUUACACUUGACCAAGACCUUAUCCGAACAUUGGAGAGGAUAAGGGAGGCGCGGCUUGACAGCUAGGACAGGCUGGCAAGAGCUGGAAAGGAAGAGCAUCUAGUCUUGGAUCAAGAAGAUGCUUCAAACGUGUGGAGACUAUCAUUGGCCGGUUCAAACUAAAGCACCAGCUCCUCUUUGACUCUACAUGCUUGCUUAUCCUUAUGAUUUCGAAAACCCUAAUGUGUAUGGACCUAUAUAUAUUGUGAGCUCAUCAUUAAUACGAAUCAGACAGUUCUAAACAAUUAAUCUCUCUAGACUUUUCAUAAUGAUUCUCCAUUAGUCUCUUAAUCUCUUAAGCUACACAAAUCUCUUCCUUAUUCUCAUCUAAACUCAGAUUAUCUUUUACAUUACUUAAAACUCUUAUGGUAUCAGAGCCAGGUUGAUUUCAAUCUGAGUUCUUGGUGUUUUUCUCUUCAAGAUUCAAACUUAAAACUUUAAGAGAUCAAGUGAGUGUGUUUGAAGUGUUCGUGGAAGAAUCUACAUCACGGGGGUUUCAUCUACGUUAGGGGGUUCUUAUCUGGAUCUUUGGAGGUUCUUUGAAGGUGAAAGACAAGACACGAGGGGUUUGAAGCUGGUGGUGUGGUUCUAAGACUCAAGAUCAAGUCUUCUACAAGUUAUUAAGGUGAAACUGUUGAAGAUGGAAAGCGGUACAAAGAUGAAGGUUGCUGUGACUUUCAAGGGAAGUAACUACCUAGUAUGGUCUAGGAUGGUGAAGACUGCUGUGGGAAGCAAGGGUUUAUGGAAGCAUAUCACGUCUGGUGAAGCUCCAAAGCUCAUUACCCAAGGAGGAGACAAGGAGAGUGUCUCGGAAGCUGAAGCUGAGAAGUGGCAACAAGAGGACUUGAUGGUGAUGUCUGUUCUUCAUGCCUCAUUGGAGCCGUCCAUUCUUGAUGCUUACAGCUAUUGUGAGACAGCCAAGGAGCUGUGGGAAACAUUGAAGAAGGUGUAUGGAAACACAUCUAACCUUAGCCGGGUCUUUGAAGUGAAGAAGGCUCUAAAUGGCUUAGCUCAAGAGGACAUGGAGUUCACUAAGCAUUUGGGAAGGUUCAGGACACUCUGGUCAGAGUUGGAGAUGCUAAGGCCAAGCACAACCUCUAAAUGGCUUAGCUCAAGAGGACAUGGAGUUCACUAAGCAUUUGGGAAGGUUCAGGACACUCUGGUCAGAGUUGGAGAUGCUAAGGCCAAGCACAACUGAUCCGGAGCUUCUAAAUGAAAGGAGGGAGCAGGAUAAGGUCUUUGGGUUGUUGCUUACAUUGAAUCCGAGCUACAAUGGGCUGAUCAAGCAUGUGCUGAGGGCUGAGAAACUCCCUGAUCUGGAGGAUGCGUGUGCUCAGAUACAAAAGGAGCAAGGCUCCAUUGGCUUGUUUGGUGGCAAAGGAGACCUGUCUCUAGCAAAUGCUGCGCAAACUGAUCAUGAAGAGACUCCACAAGCUAAUAAGGCAGCACACAGCAAGUAUGAGGAUAGGAAGUUCAAUGGCAACUGUGAUCACUGCAAGAAGCAUGGACACAAGAAGAGUCAGUUCUGGAUACUUCAUCCCCACCUAAAGCCGGCAAAGUUCAUGAAGGAAAGGGAGGCAAGAGCCCACGCAUCUGAGGGAACAAGUGGAGCUGGGUCAUCUAACCGUGGAGCUGAAGGAGAAGGUCGUGAGGGUGGCUGGAUACUUCAUCCCCACCUAAAGCCGGCAAAGUUUAUGAAGGAAAGGGAGGCAAGAGCCCACGCGUCUGAGGGAACAAGUGGAGCUGGGUCAUCUAACCGUGGAGCUGAAGGAGAAGGUCGUGAGGGUGAUGGCAAGGCACUGGUGACAUACUCAGGAGCUCCUAACAACCGUGGCAAUGAUCAUGACUACAUCAGGAGGUCCGAGAUGGAUGCUCUCAUCAAAAUGCUCAAGGAGAACGGUAACACUCAUGGGUACUCCUUUGGUGCGUCUAUGAUAGCUACAUCUGCCUUUGUUGAUGACAUUGCUAGGAUUAAUAGGAUUAAGAGUAAUGAGAACUUUAGAAAUGAGUACACCUUUGCUAGAAAUGCUAGGAUGAAUCAUGAGUCCAAUGCAUUUAGAUCACCUUUGAACCUGUGUAACAAUGCUAGCAACAUAACUAAACCAUUAAUUGUUGAUUCUGGUGCAUCUCAUCACAUGAUUAGUGAUACAAAUCUUAUUAAGGAUAUAGAACCAACUAAUGGACAUGUUAUGAUUGCAAAUGGAGACAAGAUACCUAUUAGAGGAAUAGGAAACUUGAAAUUGUUUGAUAAGAAUACUAGAGCUUUCUAUAUGCCUGAAUUUACAUCUAACUUGCUAUCUGUUAAGAAAUGCACAACUGAUUUGAAUUGCAAUGUUAUAUUCAGUCCUAAUGAUGUAAAGUUUCAGGAUAUUGAGAGCAGCCAAUUGAUUGGAAAAGGAAUCACUAAAGGAGAAUUAUACUUGCUUGAAGAACUUGAUCCUAUUUCCAAUCACAAUUGUUCAUUCACCUCUGCUUCUAGUUUAAAUAAAAAUGCUUUGUGGCAUGCUAGAUUAGGACACCCUCAUGGAAGGGCUUUGAACUUGAUGUUACCAGGUGUUUCAUUUGAAAAUAAGGAUUGUGAAGCUUGCAUUUUAGGCAAGCAUUGUAAAAUUGUGUUUCCAAACUCUACUAGUGUUUAUGAUAAGUGUUUUGACUUGAUUCAUUCUGAUGUUUGGACUGCACCUUGCAUAUCUAGAGAUAAUCAUAAAUACUUUGUCACAUUCAUUGAUGAAAAAACUAAAUACACCUGGUUAACUUUAAUUCCAUCAAAAGAUAGGGUGAUAGAUGCAUUUAAGAACUUUCAAACUUAUGUGACUAACCAUUACAAUGCCAAGAUUAAAAUUUUGAGAUCAGAUAAUGGAGGAGAGAGUACACAAGCUAUGCGUUCAAGAGUCAUCUAAGUCACCAUGGAAUCUUGCAUCAAACAAGCUGCCCUUACACACCUCAACAGAAUGGUGUGGCUGAGAGGAAAAACAGGCACUUGAUGGAGGUUGCUAGAUCACUAAUGUUCCAAGCAAAUGUCCCAAAGAGAUUUUGGAGUGAUGCUGUGGCCACUGCUUGCUACUUGAUCAAUAGAAUUCCUACAAAGGUCUUAAAGGAUCAAGCACCAUUUGAAGUUCUAAACACGCACAAGCCAUCAGUGGACUACUUGAGAGUUUUUGGAUGCUUAUGUUAUGUGUUGGUACCAGGAGAGUUGAGGAACAAGUUAGAAGCAAGAAGCACUAAGGCAAUGUUCAUUGGUUACUCAACAACACAAAAGGGAUACAAGUGCUAUGAUCCAGAUACUAGAAGAGUUCUGACCUCUAGAGAUGUGAAGUUCAUAGAAGCAAGAGGAUACUAUGAAGAAAAGAAUCAAGAGGAUCUAAAGGAUUUGACAUCAGAUAAGGCCGGAGCUUUGAGAAUGAUCUUGGAAGGUCUAGGCAUCAAGAUGAACCAGGAUCCGAAUGUUGAUGGUGGAAACCAACAAGCAAGCUCCGGAGCACCUGUUGGAGUUGAUCAAACACCUCACCUUGAUCAUGAGGGGGGAAGUGAGCCUGAAACUCAAGAAAAUGGCCAAGAUGGAGCCGGCUUGGGUGAAGAAGGAGAAGAGAGUAACUCAGGCUCUCAUAAUCAAGGUGACCAAAGACAAGAAGAUGUAGAAGCUCAGGUUGAAGUACAAGAGCCGAGUGUCCAAGAUGAGCUGGUUCAAGAUCAGCCAGUAUUGAGAAGAAGCACAAGGCUGAGAAAGGAUCCUUCUAGCUGGGUAAACACGAGAGUGUACUACAAUGCCCAGGCUGUGGAGCAUCCUACUCAGGCCGUGUGUUCCUUUGCUCAAUAUCCUGAAGAGCAUUGUGCUUUUAUGGUGAACUUGGAUAAGAAUUAUAUUCCAAAGAGCUAUGAAGAGGCAAUGUUAGAUAAGGAGUGGAAGGAAUCAGUGAGAGCUGAGGCAGGAGCUAUGGUAAAAAAUGAUACAUGGUAUGAGAGUGAACUACCUAAGGGAAAGAAGGCAGUAUCAAGUAGAUGGAUCUUCACAAUCAAGUACAAGGCUGAUGGGCAAAUUGAGAGGAAGAAGUCAAGACUGGUUGCAAGAGGCUUCACACAAACCUAUGGAGAGGAUUACAUUGAGACAUUUGCACCAGUAGCUAAGCUACAUACAAUCCGGAUUGUACUAAGUUUAGCUGUGAACCUUGGAUGGGGCUUAUGGCAAAUGGAUGUGAAGAAUGCUUUUCUACAAGGAGAGCUUGAGGAUGAAGUCUAUAUGCAUCCUCCACCAGGCCUUGAACACUUAGUGAAGAAGGGAAAUGUGUUGAGAUUGAAGAAAGCCAUCUAUGGAUUGAAGCAAUCACCAAGAGCUUGGUACAACAAGCUGAGUACUACCUUGAAUGGCCGAGGCUUCAAGAAGUCUGAACUAGAUCACACUCUCUUCACUUUUACCACUCCCUCAGGUAUGAUAGCCCUCCUUGUGUAUGUUGAUGAUAUCAUUAUCACAGGAAGUGAUAAGGAAGGUAUCAUAGCAACCAAGGAGUUCCUUAAAUCCAUGUUUGAGAUUAAAGACUUGGGAGAAAUGAAAUACUUUCUUGGAAUUGAGAUAUGUAGAUCCAAGGAAGGUUUAUUCAUGUCCCAAAGGAAGUAUACACUUGAUCUUUUGAAAGGUGCAGGUGCUUAUGGAGGCAAGACAGCAAGGAUGCCUAUGGAGGAUGGCUACAAAGUCCCACGAGAGGGGGAGAUUGAAGACAGCAAACCUUAUCAGGAUCCUAAACUCUAUAGAAAACUAGUUGGUAAAUUGAUUUACCUUACCAUAACUAGACCUGACAUUUUUUUUGCUGUGAAUCAGGUGAGUCAACACAUGCAAGUGCCUAAGGAGCAUCACGAUUGGUCAAGAUGGGCAAAGAGAGCUUUGGAAAGCUGUGGGUUAUGGUGUGGUCAUGUAAAGGGGAAGCCUUUAGUGGAAAUGGCUACUGAAGAAGGUCAGACAAGGAAUCUGAAAGGUGAAGAUGAAGCUGAUCAAGAAACCACUUUGGAGAGUGGGAUUGAAGAAGCUUAUGUAGAAAGGUCCAAACUUGUGAAGGUCAGUGGAGACAAGAGAGUGAUCCGCGGCUUGAGACAAGGAAAGGAUGAGUUGUAUCAGCUUGUGGGAAGGCUGAAAGAAGGAUGGAUGGAGCUGGAUGUGCUGAGACCAAGCACAUCUGAUCUGAGAGUUAUUAAAGAAAGGAGGAAACAAGAUGUGUUCUUUAGCUUUCUUGUGAAGGAGAUAUGGUUUCUGGUUUGGAGAUUGAUCAAGCCACACCAAUGACAAUGCAUUGUGAUAACCAAGAAGCUAUCCACAUUGCCUCCAACUCCGUGUUCCAUGAGAGAACCAAGCACAUUGAAGUUGAUUGUCACAAAGUGAGGCAGAUGAUUAUCCUAGGAGUCAUCCUGCCAUGCUACACUAGGAGUGAAGAUCAGUUGGCUAAUGUGUUCACUAAGGCUGCGAGACACAAGACUAUGGAGUCCAUUCACAUUAGAUUGGGACUCAUAGAUCUUGGGAAGAGAAGGAGCUGAUCCCCUAAGUCAUGAGGUCUUUACUCUUUUUCCCUCAUCAAAGUUUUGUCCCAAUGGGUUUUCUUUGGUGAGGUUUUUAAUGAGGAAGAUCUCAUGGCUAGCCAAGCUUAGACUUUCACAAAGCUAAGCUUGAGGGGGAGUGUUGAGAUGAGUUGAGACAUAUGAGAUAAGAGGUAAAGACACAAAGGAGUUGAGGACAUAAAGAGGGCAAAGGAGUUAAGAGAAGAAAUGGGUUGAUAGAGAUGGUACGGACGGAUAGGCCGUACCAUUGGCCGUACAAAGGUAAAAGCGGCCAAGUAACUCUCCGGGUAACUUACAUGGACUUACUUGAAGUUACACUUGACCAAGACCUUAUCCGAACGUUGGAGAGGAUAAGGGAGGCGCGGCUUGACAGCUAGGACAGGCUGGCAAGAGCUGGAAAGGAAGAGCAUCUAGUCUUGGAUCAAGAAGAUGCUUCAAACGUGUGGAGACUAUCAUUGGCCGGUUCAAACUAAAGCACCAGCUCCUCUUUGACUCUACAUGCUUGCUUAUCCUUAUGAUUUCGAAAACCCUAAUGUGUAUGGACCUAUAUAUAUUGUGAGCUCAUCAUUAAUAAGAAUCAGACAGUUCUAAACAAUUAAUCUCUCUAGACUUUUCAUAAUGAUUCUCCAUUAGUCUCUUAAUCUCUUAAGCUACACAAAUCUCUUCCUUAUUCUCAUCUAAACUCAGAUUAUCUUUUACAUUACUUAAAACUCUUAUGGUAUCAGAGCCAGGUUGAUUUCAAUCUGAGUUCUUGGUGUUUUUCUCUUGAAGAUUCAAACUUAAAACUUUAAGAGAUCAAGUGAGUGUGUUUGAAGUGUUCGUGGAAGAAUCUACAUCACGGGGGUUUCAUCUACGUUAGGGAGUUCUUAUCUGGAUCUUUGGAGGUUCUUUGAAGGUGAAAGACAAGACACGAGGGGUUUGAAGCUGGUGGUGUGGUUCUAAGUCUCAAGAUCAAGUCUUCUACAAGUUAUUAAGGUGAAACUGUUGAAGAUGGAAAGCGGUACAAAGAUGAACGUUGCUGUGACUUUCAAGGGAAGUAACUACCUAGUAUGGUCUAGGAUGGUGAAGACUGCUGUGGGAAGCAAGGGUUUAUGGAAGCAUAUCAAAGAUGAAGGUUGCUGUGACUUUCAAGGGAAGUAACUACCUAGUAUGGUCUAGGAUGGUGAAGACUGCUGUGGGAAGCAAGGGUUUAUGGAAGCAUAUCACGUCUGGUGAAGCUCCAAAGCUCAUUACCCAAGGAGGAGACAAGGAGAGUGUCUCGGAAGCUGAAGCUGAGAAGUGGCAACAAGAGGACUUGAUGGUGAUGUCUGUUCUUCAUGCCUCAUUGGAGCCGUCCAUUCUUGAUGCUUACAGCUAUUGUGAGACAGCCAAGGAGCUGUGGGAAACAUUGAAAAAGGUGUAUGGAAACACAUCUAACCUUAGCCGGGUCUUUGAAGUGAAGAAGGCUCUAAAUGGCUUAGCUCAAGAGGACAUGGAGUUCACUAAGCAUUUGGGAAGGUUCAGGACACUCUGGUCAGAGUUGGAGAUGCUAAGGCCAAGCACAACUGAUCCGGAGCUUCUAAAUGAAAGGAGGGAGCAGGAUAAGGUCUUUGGGUUGUUGCUUACAUUGAAUCCGAGCUACAAUGGGCUGAUCAAGCAUGUGCUGAGGGCUGAGAAACUCCCUGAUCUGGAGGAUGCGUGUGCUCAGAUACAAAAGGAGCAAGGCUCCAUUGGCUUGUUUGGUGGCAAAGGAGACCUGUCUCUAGCAAAUGCUGCGCAAACUGAUCAUGAAGAGACUCCACAAGCUAAUAAGGCAGCACACAGCAAGUAUGAGGAUAGGAAGUUCAAUGGCAACUGUGAUCACUGCAAGAAGCAUGGACACAAGAAGAGUCAGUGCUGGAUACUUCAUCCCCACCUAAAGCCGGCAAAGUUCAUGAAGGAAAGGGAGGCAAGAGCCCACGCAUCUGAGGGAACAAGUGGAGCUGGGUCAUCUAACCGUGGAGCUGAAGGAGAAGGUCGUGAGGGUGAUGGCAAGGCACUGGUGACAUACUCAGGAGCUCCUAACAACCGUGGCAAUGAUCAUGACUACAUCAGGAGGUCCGAGAUGGAUGCUCUCAUCAAAAUGCUCAAGGAGAACGGUAACACUCAUGGGUACUCCUUUGGUGCGUCUAUGAUAGCUACAUCUGCCUGUGUUGAUGACAUUGCUAGGAUUAAUAGGAUUAAGAGUAAUGAGAACUUUAGAAAUGAGUACACCUUUGCUAGAAAUGCUAGGAUGAAUCAUGAGUCCAAUGCAUUUAGAUCACCUUUGAACCUGUGUAACAAUGCUAGCAACAUAACUAAACCAUUAAUUGUUGAUUCUGGUGCAUCUCAUCACAUGAUUAGUGAUACAAAUCUUAUUAAGGAUAUAGAACCAACUAAUGGACAUGUUAUGAUUGCAAAUGGAGACAAGAUACCUAUUAGAGGAAUAGGAAACUUGAAAUUGUUUGAUAAGAAUACUAGAGCUUUCUAUAUGCCUGAAUUUACAUCUAACUUGCUAUCUGUUAAGAAAUGCACAACUGAUUUGAAUUGCAAUGUUAUAUUCAGUCCUAAUGAUGUAAAGUUUCAGGAUAUUGAGAGCAGCCAAUUGAUUGGAAAAGGAAUCACUAAAGGAGAAUUAUACUUGCUUGAAGAACUUGAUCCUAUUUCCAAUCACAAUUGUUCAUUCACCUCUGCUUCUUGUUUAAAUAAAAAUGCUUUGUGGCAUGCUAGAUUAGGACACCCUCAUGGAAGGGCUUUGAACUUGAUGUUACCAGGUGUUUCAUUUGAAAAUAAGGAUUGUGAAGCUUGCAUUUUAGGCAAGCAUUGUAAAAUUGUGUUUCCAAACUCUACUAGUGUUUAUGAUAAGUGUUUUGACUUGAUUCAUUCUGAUGUUUGGACUGCACCUUGCAUAUCUAGAGAUAAUCAUAAAUACUUUGUCACAUUCAUUGAUGAAAAAUCUAAAUACACCUGGUUAACUUUAAUUCCAUCAAAAGAUAGGGUGAUAGAUGCAUUUAAGAACUUUCAAACUUAUGUGACUAACCAUUACCAUGCCAAGAUUAAAAUUUUGAGAUCAGAUAAUGGAGGAGAGUACACAAGCUAUGCGUUCAAGAGUCAUCUAAGUCACCAUGGAAUCUUGCAUCAAACAAGCUGCCCUUACACACCUCAACAGAAUGGUGUGGCUGAGAGGAAAAACAGGCACUUGAUGGAGGUUGCUAGAUCACUAAUGUUCCAAGCAAAUGUCCCAAAGAGAUUUUGGAGUGAUGCUGUGGCCACUGCUUGCUACUUGAUCAAUAGAAUUCCUACAAAGGUCUUAAAGGAUCAAGCACCAUUUGAAGUUCUAAACAAGCACAAGCCAUCAGUGGACUACUUGAGAGUUUUUGGAUGCUUAUGCUAUGUGUUGGUACCAGGAGAGUUGAGGAACAAGUUAGAAGCAAGAAGCACUAAGGCAAUGUUCAUUGGUUACUCAACAACACAAAAGGGAUACAAGUGCUAUGAUCCAGAUACUAGAAGAGUUCUGACCUCUAGAGAUGUGAAGUUCAUAGAAGCAAGAGGAUACUAUGAAGAAAAGAAUCAAGAGGAUCUAAAGGAUUUGACAUCAGAUAAGGCCGGAGCUUUGAGAAUGAUCUUGGAAGGUCUAGGCAUCAAGAUGAACCAGGAUCCGAAUGUUGAUGGUGGAAACCAACAAGCAAGCUCCGGAGCACCUGUUGGAGUUGAUCAAACACCUCACCUUGAUCAUGAGGGGGGAAGUGAGCCUGAAACUCAAGAAAAUGGCCAAGAUGGAGCCGGCUUGGGUGAAGAAGGAGAAGAGAGUAACUCAGGCUCUCAUAAUCAAGGUGACCAAAGACAAGAAGAUGUAGAAGCUCAGGUUGAAGUACAAGAGCCGAGUGUCCAAGAUGAGCUGGUUCAAGAUCAGCCAGUAUUGAGAAGAAGCACAAGGCUGAGAAAGGAUCCUUCUAGCUGGGUAAACACGAGAGUGUACUACAAUGCCCAGGCUGUGGAGCAUCCUACUCAGGCCGUGUGUUCCUUUGCUCAAUAUCCUCAAGAGCAUUGUGCUUUUAUGGUGAACUUGGAUAAGAAUUAUAUUCCAAAGAGCUAUGAAGAGGCAAUGUUAGAUAAGGAGUGGAAGGAAUCAGUGAGAGCUGAGGCAGGAGCUAUGGUAAAGAAUGAUACAUGGUAUGAGAGUGAACUACCUAAGGGAAAGAAGGCAGUAUCAAGUAGAUGGAUCUUCACAAUCAAGUACAAGGCUGAUGGGCAAAUUGAGAGGAAGAAGUCAAGACUGGUUGCAAGAGGCUUCACACAAACCUAUGGAUAGGAUUACAUUGAGACAUUUGCACCAGUGGCUAAGCUACAUACAAUCCGGAUUGUACUAAGUUUAGCUGUGAACCUUGGAUGGGGCUUAUGGCAAAUGGAUGUGAAGAAUGCUUUUCUACAAGGAGAGCUUGAGGAUGAAGUCUAUAUGCAUCCUCCACCAGGCCUUGAACACUUAGUGAAGAAGGGAAAUGUGUUGAGAUUGAAGAAAGCCAUCUAUGGAUUGAAGCAAUCACCAAGAGCUUGGUACAACAAGCUGAGUACUACCUUGAAUGGCCGAGGCUUCAAGAAGUCUGAACUAGAUCACACUCUCUUCACUCUUACCACUCCCUCAGGUAUGAUAGCCCUCCUUGUGUAUGUUGAUGAUAUCAUUAUCACAGGAAGUGAUAAGGAAGGUAUCAUAGCAACCAAGGAGUUCCUUAAAUCCAUGUUUGAGAUUAAAGACUUGGGAGAAAUGAAAUACUUUCUUGGAAUUGAGAUAUGUAGAUCCAAGGAAGGUUUAUUCAUGUCUCAAAGGAAGUAUCCACUUGAUCUUUUGAAAGGUGCAGGUGCUUAUGGAGGCAAGACAGCAAGGAUGCCUAUGGGGGAUGGCUACAAAGUCCCACGAGAGGGGGAGAUUGAAGACAGCAAACCUUAUCAGGAUCCUAAACUCUAUAGAAAACUAGUUGGUAAAUUGAUUUACCUUACCAUAACUAGACCUGACAUUUGUUUUGCUGUGAAUCAGGUGAGUCAACACAUGCAAGUGCCUAAGGAGCAUCACUGGUGUAUGGUGGAGAGAAUCUUGAUGUAUCUCAACGGCUCACCUGAUCAAGGAGUAUGGAUGGGUUGCAAUGGGAGCACUGAAGUGGUUGGAUACUGUGAUGCGGAUUGGGCCGGUGAUAGAGAAGACAGGAGAUCAACCACAGGCUAUUGCACAUUCAUUGGAGGCAACUUGGUCACGUGGAAGAGUAAGAAGCAGAAGGUGGUCUCUUGCUCAAGUGCAGAAGCUGAGUAUAGAGCUAUGCUGAAGCUUACCAACGAGCUGGUGUGGAUCAAAGGCAUCUUGAAGCAUUUGGAGAUUGAUCAAGCCACACCAAUGACAAUGCAUUGUGAUAACCAAGCAGCUAUCCACAUUGCCUCCAACUCCGUGUUCCAUGAGAGAACCAAGCACAUUGAAGUUGAUUGUCACAAAGUGACGUGUUCCAUGAGAGAACCAAGCACAUUGAAGUUGAUUGUCACAAAGUGAGGCAGAUGAUUAUCCUAGGAGUCAUCCUGCCAUGCUAUACUAGGAGUGAAGAUCAGUUGGCUGAUGUGUUCACUAAGGCUGCGAGACACAAGACUAUGGAGUCCAUUCACAUUAGAUUGGGACUCAUAGAUCUUGGGAAGAGAAGGAGCUGAUCCCCUAAGUCAUGAGGUCUUUACUCUUUUUCCCUCAUCAAAGUUUUGUCCCAUUGGGUUUUCUUUGGUGAGGUUUUUAAUGAGGAAGAUCUCAUGGCUAUCCAAACUUAGACUUUCACAAAGCUAAGCUUGAGGGGGAGUGUUGAGAUGAGAUCAUGUUGAGAUGAGAUCAUAAGAGGAAGUGUUGAGCAAUGUAUAUGAGAAGAGGAUAUGAAGGUGUGAAGCACUAGGAGGAAAGGGAUUGAGGAGGUCUAGUCCGUACAAUCCGUACAUGCCGUACAUAAGGCAUGACCGUACAAGCUUUGGGUGAACUCACUUCAUUAUUCAGGAAGGUUACUUGUGAUAAGGGUAAUGUUAACUAUGGAGAGUUACCAUAGCUUGAUCAGACCGUUGAGGGAAGGAUAAGGCCGCGACUUGACAGGCUGUAUGCAGCUGGAAAGGGAAAGCAACCUUAUCCAUUCAUCCCACACAUGUGGAGUCUCCUAUUGGCUUAGUUUGAAACCGGCGCCUAGCUCCCCCUUGACUACACAUGCUUUGCUUACUUUAGGUUUAGUGAAACCCUUGUAUCCAUCCUAUAUAAAUUGUAAACUCCUCAUCAAUAAGAUUAGACAGUUCGAAACACUAAAUCUUAAACACUUUUGUGUUUUAAAGUGUGUUUAAGAAUGAAUCUGACUGAUUUGUGUAAGAUUAAAGAGAUUUAGAGAUUAGAGAGAAUAAAGGAUAAGAUAGAGACUCAAAACUCCAUUAAUUGAUUUAAUGUCUCAGAUACAAGUUAUAUAUGAAGAGAUAAGACUAAUACAGAGGGUAUUUCGAAAAUGGGACUCAAAGCAUGUGUAGUCAAAGCUAGCUGGCCAUUCUGGUUUGAAAUACUUGGCUGAGAGGCUUCACAUGCUUGGACAGGCUGUAAAGGUGCUUUACCUUUCCAGCUAUGACCAGACCUUAUCCAAACACCUCCUCCCUUAUCCAGACUCCUCUUGGGCGUGAGUCUCUUUACCAAAAUGAUCCAAGGUAACUUCCCAAGCCUUUAACUUAGUUACCACAGUAAAACUAAAGUUACUGUGGUAAAUCUCCAAAGUUAUUGACUGCCCCAAUACUCUUCCUCUAUCAAUGUAUCCACUCUUUAUCACCUCUUCUCAACAUUUACUUCCUGAUCUCCAACUUAACACUCUCCCUCAAGCUUGACCAUGUGAAACAGGUCAAGCUUGGAUUGCCAUGAGAUCUUCCCUCAUUAUAAACCUCAUCAAAGAAAACCCAAUGGGAUAAAACUUUGAUGAGGGAAAAAGAGUGGAGAUCUCAUGACGAGGGGAUCAGCUCCUGGGAGUAAGAUCAAUGAGUCCAAGCCUGGAUAGUAUGGACUCCAUUGUCUUUAAUCUUGCUGCCUUAGUAAACACAUCUGCAAGUUGGUCUUCACUUCUUGUAUAACAAGGCAGUAUCACUCCUAGGAUAAUCAUCUGCCUCACCUUGUGGCAAUCAACUUCUAUAUGCUUUGUCCUCUCAUGAAAGACUGAGUUAGAAGCAAUAUGAAUAGCUGCUUGAUUGGCACAGUGCAUUGUCAUAGGAGUACUCUGCUCAAUCUCCAGAUGCUUCAAGAUACCCUUGAUCCAUACCAACUCGUUUGUCAGCUUCAACGUAGCUCUAUACUCAGCCUCUGCACUUGAACAGGAGAUGACCUUCUGCUUCUUACUCUUCCAAGUAACCAGGUUCCCUCCAAUGAAUGUACAAUAGCCAGUAGUUGAUCUCCUGUCCACUCUAUCUCCUGCCCAAUCAGCAUCACAAUAGCCUACCACUUCUGUACUGCCAUUGCAACCCAUCCAAACUCCUUGUCCAUGCGAGCCACUCAAAUACCUCAGUAUCCUAUCAACCAUCUUCCAGUGAUGUACCUUUGGCGCCUGCAUAUGCUGGCUCACUUGAUUCACAGCAAAGCAUAUAUCAGGUCUGGUGAUAGUCAAGUAGACCAGCUUACCAACCAUCCUCCUAUACAACUUAGCAUCCUCAAACAACUGGUUCUCUUCAACCUCCCCCUCACGCAAGACCUUAUACCCUUCCUCAAGAGGUGUCUUAGUUAUCUUUCCUCCAAGCACAUCAGUCUCCUUCAGCAUAUCCAUAGUGUACUUCCUUUGAGACAUAAACAAACCCUCCUUAGAUCUGCAUAUCUCAAUCCCCAAAAAAUACUUCAUUUCUCCCAUGUCUUUAAUAUCAAACACAGACUUGAGAAACUCUUUGGUGGCUUUAAUCCCAGCCUUAUCACUCCCUGUGAUAAUCAAAUCAUCCACAUACACCAAAACCACUAUGAUCCCUGAUGGUCCGAGCAGUGUGAAGAGUGUAUGAUCUAGUUCAGACUUCCUGAACCCUCUCCCAUUGAGAGUUGUACUAAGCUUUCUCUACCAAGCUCUAGGAGACUGCUUCAGCCCAUAUAUAGCCUUCUUAAAUCUCAAAACAUUUCCUGGCUUCACUAGAUGCUCAAGACCAGGAGGGGGAAGUAUAUAUACCUCAUCUUCUAGCUCACCUUGCAGGAAAGCAUUCUUCACAUCCAUCUGCCACAAGUCCCACUCCAAGUUUGUUGCAAUGGACAACACAAUCCGAAUGGUGCGUAGCUUGGCCACUGGUGCAAAUGUAUCAAUGUAAUCCUCUCCAUAGGUCUGUGUGAACCCUCUUGCUACCAGUCUAGUUUUCCUCCUAUCAAUCUGUCCAUUAGGAAAGUAUUUGAUAGUAAAGAUCCAUCUGCUAGAUACUGCUCUCUUUCCUUUUGGUAGCUCACUCUCAUACCAUGUAUCAUUCUUAAUCAUAGCACCAGCUUCAGCUCCCACUGAUUCUUUCCAUUCCUUGUCUAACAUAGCUUCUUCAUAAGUCCUUGGUACAUAGCUCUCAUCCAGACUAAUCAUGAACGCACAAUGCUCUUCUGGAAACUCAGGAAAGGAACACACGGCUUGAGAAGGAUGCUCCACAGCCUGGGCAUUGUAGUACACUCUCGUGUUUACCCAGUUGGAAGCAUCCCUCUUUAUCCUUGUGCUCCUUCUUAAUGGUUGAACCUGAUCUUCAGUUUGUACCAGAAUCUCAUCUUGAACUUGUUCUUCUGAACCAGUAGACUCUCCUUGCUCAUCUCCACUAGACUGAGCCACAUUCUCUUGCCCAUCUUCAUUAGGCUGAGCCAAAUUCUCUACUUCAUGUGUCGUAUCUUGAUCAUGAUGACCUGAAUCCUCUUGGUUCUGCUCCUGCUCACCUGAUUCAGAUCCAUUCCCCCUCUCAUGAUCAAGAGGGGUUGUUCUUUCAGCUUCUUCAGCCUGAUUAGAAGGCUCUCUCCUUCCUGGUUCCUGAUCAUGGGAUAAACCUAUCCCUAGCUUCUCCAACAGCACUCUCAGUGUUGUUGCCUUAUAUGGAGCUUGAGGUAAAUCCUUCAGAUCUUCCCACUUCUUUUCUUCAUAAUACCCUUUUGAUUCAACAAACUUCACUUCUCUAGAUACCAACACUCUCCUUGCAUCAGGAUCAUAGCACUUGUACCCCUUCUGAGUUACUGAAUAUCCAAUGAACAUUGCCUUAGUGCUCUUUGCAUCCAGUUUGUUUCUCUGCUCUCCUGGAACCAUGACAUAACACACACACCCAAAGACUCUUAGGUGAUCAAUGUAUGGCCUGCUCUUGUUCAAUACUUCAAACGGAGACAGGUUCUUCAAUAUCUUGGUUUGUACCCUGUUGAUGAUAUAGCAAGCAGUUUGCACAGCAUCUCCCCAAAAACGUUUUGGGACAUUUGCAUGAAACAUCAUUGAUCUAGCAACCUCCAUCAAGUGCCUGUUCUUCCUCUUAGCUACACCAUUCUGCUGUGGUGUAUAAGGGCAGCUAGUCUGAUGCACAAUCCCAUGCUUGGCCAGAUGACUCUUGAAGGCAUUGCUGAUGUAUUCACCUCCAUUGUCUGAUCUCAGUACCUUCACAGUAGCAUUGUACUGAUUAGUAACAUGUGCUUGGAAGUUUAUAAAAGCUUCUAACACCCUAUCUUUAGAUGGAAGCAAUGUGAGCCAAGUAUACUUUGACUUCUCAUCAAUGAAUGUCACAAAGUAUUUCUGGCUGUCCCUAGACACACACGGAGAUGUCCACACAUCAGAGUGAACCAAAUCAAAACAAUGCUCAUAAGUAUUUUCAGAAGUUGGGAACAUAGUCCUACAAUGCUUUCCUAAUAUGCAAGCCUCACACUCCAAGUGAUUAAAUGAAAUAUUAGGCAUGAUCAAUUCAAUUGCACGAGCAUGAGGAUGUCCCAAUCUAGCAUGCCAAAUCAUACUAUCACACCUAUCAGCAGCACUACUCAAGCACACAGAAUCAAAGGGUUUAGAAUUCUUAGCCAUUUGAAGAUGGUAUAGCUGAUUCUUGCUGUCUCCUCUGCCAAUAACUCUUCCAGUCUUCAAGUCUUGAAACUCAACUUCAUUUGGCCUGAAUACUACUUGACAAUCAAGAUCAACUGUAGCUUUCUUCACAGAUAUCAGAUUUGAAGUGAACUGAGGUAGGUAGAAAGCAUCUGAGUUCUUCUCAAACAGCUUGAGGUUUCCCACUCCUUCUAUUGGGAUCCUGGUACCAUUAGCUAUCAUGACACUCCCUGUUGCAGCUUUGACUUCACUUAUCAGACUCCUAUCACUGAUCAUAUGAUGGCUUGCUCCAGAAUCAAUUAUGAUAGGUUUAGAGGCUGAUGAUAGAACCCCUUGCCUCUUGGUUGCAGCCAGAGCAUACACAUACUUAACAAACUCAUCCCAUUCCUUCUUUGUGAUUGGAUCAUCCGCUCCUUUAGUCUCCUGCCCCCUCACAACCAUUCUCUCUUCCACUGAGUUACCCAUGUAAGCUGAGUAAGAGCACUCUCCUUUAAUUGUUUGCUGCAUAAACUCCUUAAUCCAUCUCAUCUCUAAGCUAUUGAUUAGACCCGCAGACUGUCUACUCCUCUUCUGAUACAGUCCCUUAGCCCUCUUAGCUCUGAAAAUUCUCCUCAAUCUUCCUUUCUUACAGCUUGUACCAUGUUUCAUACACAUUGGCUUCUUGUUCUUCUCCCACAUAUGGUGAUCUUCACCUUUCUGAACAAUCACACACUCACCAUCUACAUCAGAUAGCUCAUCUCCACUAAGUAUACAUCUGAUUAGCUGAUCAUAAGUUGAUUUCAGGCUCCCAAGAAGGCUAAAGACUCCAUCUUGUUUCAGCCUUUCUUGAACACCCUCCGGAUCUGAUCUGUUUUAUCUCAACUCAUCCAACUCAAACCAUAAACACUUCAGCUUUCCCACAAGCUGAAUGAGCUCGUCCUUUCCUUGUUUCAGGUCCCCAAUAGCUCUCUUGCCAUAAACCUUCAUCAGAUUGGAUCUACUCCCAUGAGCUGUUUCAAUCUCACACCUUGUACUGUCUUCUUGAACAGCUCUAUCUUCAUACCUCAGGCUCCUUGCCUGACCUUCUUUUGUAGUCACUUCACUUAAAGGCUUCCCCUUUACAUGACUACAACACAACACACAGCUCCCCACAGCUGUCUUCACCCAUCUGGACCAACACCCAUCAUUUUCUCCUUGAAUCUUCACUGGUUUACUAGAUCCAUGCUUCAUAUCCAUACUGAGGUCGUUUGUUUCCAUCAGAUAAACUCAAACAAUCCCAGAGAAUGAAGAAUAGAGCUCAAAAACACAAAGAGCACUCAAGAACACCAAGAACAGCCCAAGAACACCAAGAACACAAACCCAGAUUUUUCAAAGCAAGAACAACACACUCCCACCCUUUUAGGAACCUGGCUCUGAUACCAUAAACACUUUUGUGUUUUAAAGUGUGUUUAAGAAUGAAUCUGACUGAUUUGUGUAAGAUUAAAGAGAUUAAGGGAUUAGAGAGAAUAAAGGAUAAGACAGAGACUCAAAACUCCAUUAAUUGAUUUAAUGUCUCAGAUACAAGUUAUAUAUGAAGAGAUAAGACUAAUACAGAGGGUAUUUCGAAAAUGGGACUCAAAGCAUGUGUAGUCAAAGCUAGCUGGCCAUUCUGGUUUGAAAUACUUGGCUGAGAGGCUUCACAUGCUUGGACAGGCUGUAAAGGUGCUUUACCUUUCCAGCUAUGACCAGACCUUAUCCAAACACCUCCUCCCUUAUCCAGACUCCUCUUGGGCGUGAUUCUCUUUACCAAAAGGAUCCAAGGUAACUUCCCAAGCCUUUAACUUAGUUACCACAGUAAAACUAAAGUUACUGUGGUAAAUCUCCAAAGUUAUUGACUGCCCCAAUACUCUUCCUCUAUCAAUGUAUCCACUCUUUAUCACCUCUUCUCAACAUUUACUUCCUGAUCUCCAACUUAACAAAUCUCUCUAUACAUUUUACAAUGAUUCUCCAUUAAUCUUUUAAUCUCUUAUUCUCUCUUAAUCUACUCUAAUCUCU